GAAUUGCCGGAGGCUGCUUUGUUUUAAGCUUAUCCAGUAUUUGACGCAAUGGGUGGUGAGGGGGCGGGGAAAUGUACAUCUGAGAAUCCGAGACCAAUCAUGUCAUGGGAGGUGCUGAGUGCUAAGCCUAUCUAAUAUUUGCUGCAAGGUGGGAGGGGGCGGGGAAAGAGUACGUCAAAGUGUCCGGGACCAAUCAGGUGCUAGAGACAGCUUUGUGCAAAGGUGGGAGGGGCGGGCAAAGUACGUCAAAGUGUCCGGGGCCAAUCAGGUGCUAGAGACAGCUUUGUGCAAAGGUGGGAGGGGGCGGGGAAAGAGUGCGUCAGAGUGUCGGAGCCAAUCAGGUGCCAGAGACAGCUUUGUUCUAGGCCUAACUAAUGUUUGAAGGUGGGAGGGGGCGGGAAAAAGAGUGUGUCAGAGUGCUCGGGGCCAAUCAGGUGCUAGAGACAGCUUUGUUCUAGGCCAAUCUAAUAUUUGCUGCAAAGGUGGGAGGGGGUGGGGAAAGUGCGUCAGAGUUCUGGGACCAAUCAGGUGUCAGAGACAGCUUUGUUGUGUGCGGCAGAGGGAGGGGAGGAGGACAGAGAAGGGAGGAGGGUGGGGAAGGAGUGUGUCAGAGUGUCCGGGGCUAAUCUGGUACCAGAGACGGCUUUCUUCUUGGCCUAGCCCCAUAGGCCUGAAUGGAAAAGAAAGUGCGCCAUAGAAUCUGGGAAUGCGAAGGUGGGGAAGGAGGCGGAGAAAUUUACGUCAUAGAAUCCGGGGCCAAUCAGAUGCCCGAGAUAUCUAUGUUUGCUGCAAAGGUGGAAGAGGGUGGGGAAACCGUGGGCCAAUCAGAGCCCAGAGUCCGCUAGUCAUCAGGGAAAGGGGCAGGUUACUUUUUUUUUAUUGUGCUUUGGGAAGGACUAAUUCAUUUAAUGAUUAAUAAUAAAAUAGGCUUAUGCUUCUAUUUACAACAUUGAUUUCAAUUACAUCAACACAGAGGUGAUGGCUCUGAAUUAAAUACAAUGCCUUUUGUGGCUUAAAAAAAUAUAACUCCAUGGACAGCCUUAAUGUGGUAAGAUUUAUGCAUUAUUAUAAUUUGGAAUGAAUGGGAAACAUUUUUGAAAAAAGUUAAACAAUUUUAAAGGGAUACUAUUUGUGAUUUUAAGUCAUUGUGAUGUUAAGAUACAUGCAAUAUAAUCGAAUAAAAAUGAAUAAAAAAUUGAAAGAGGGGAAGCCUUGGGAGGUUGGAACAGGGUGGGGCCUCAACCCAUAAUCUCGCAGUUGGAUUGCUUUUUUUUUUUAAUGUGUCGAAUUAUACAGUAUUGGGAUUCACACGAUACUUUUAAUAAUAACAAUAAUAUAUGCUUUGAUGUGAAAAAAUUAUUUCAAUAUAAUUUGUAUCAGCACAGGGGUGAUGCUCUGAAUUAAAACUCAGUUUCCGAACCACACAGCCAAAGAGGAAAGGUGAAAAUACAAUGUCAUGUAUUGCUACCAAAAAAAAAGGUAAUUAUUUCCACAGCCCUGAUCAGGUAAGUCUUAAAUGAUAAUAAAUUUGUUUUCAUUGAAAAAAAGAGUUAAGUAUAAAAUUUUUUAAAAAGAAACAAUAUUUGUGCUCUUAGCAAUUAAAAAAAAGGAUUGCUAAGGAAAAUAUGCAGUGUCAUAAAAUAAAAAUAAACUGAAAAAUGUCCAAAAAUCCAAGUAGAUCAAAGGUUGGUGUGACCUCUGGGAAGUUCAAGUCUUUAGAACAUGAAAUAUCUGGGCCAGAAGGUGCUUUUUCAAGCAGGAGAUGUUAGAUCUUGAAGAGAAUUUAGAAUAUGGAAGUUGAGAAGGCAGUCAGGGUUCUAAAUGUCUGAACUGGGAGUGACCAUAAAAAGCAGAAUAUCAGGCCCAGCUCUACUCUUAUUACAUAAAAUGGCUGAAUUGGGGUGUGUUUUAUAAUCUUGAGUGUCUAAUCUGAAAAGAUAUUGAGAACAGGGAAUAUCAGAAAUGGGGAAGGACCUUACAACUCAGAGAGCAGGAAAUCAGAACUGCCUAAGAAGCCAGAAUGACAGAGCCAAUGGGACCUUAGAAUAGAGAGUGUCAGAAAUUGGAGGGCCUUCAAAUAAGUGACAUCAGUUUUAAGAGCCUUUAGAAGGCAGAAUAUCAGAACUACGGGUAUCUUUCAAGCUAUAGAAUAUGAGAACUUACCUGAGCUGAAAGGGGCUCUAGACAGAAAAAUGUGAGGUAGGUGUGACUUUCCAAAACAGAAAGUGGGAGAUGGGCCUGGUCUAAUUGAAGAAAUUAUCAGAACCGUUGGGAUCUUAGACAGAAUUUCUGAGCUAGGAGACAUCUUAGCCUGCAGAAUGCCUGAGGUGGGUGGAGCCUUAGAAACCUGGAAUAUUGUGUCAGUUUGGAGGGACCUCAUAAGACAGGUAACGGGAGAUGGGCAGAAUCUGAGAACUCAAAUUCAGAGCCCAUAGGACCUUAGGACAUAGAAUGGUAGGCCUGGGAAUAGCACUAAAGAGGAGAAUCUCAGUUCUGGGAGGAGAUUUAGAAUACACAAUAUUAUAAGCUGGGGUGUAGUGUUUUAUAUUUGCUCAGCAUAUUAAAUUAUUGGAAAUGACUGGUUAAUUUAGAAAAAAAGAAGUAACAAAACAUAUUCAUGAAAUGAGAUGCAACAUGUACUUCACCAUAAUCUAUAUCAGCACAGUUUUGAUGCUCUGAAUUAAAAGUCAGGUUCUGAACCACAGAGACAAAGAAGAACAAUAAUACAGUACUUUAUCUGACUGCCCCAAAAAGGUAAUUUCCUAUAUGGUCCUGAUCAGGUAAGACUGCUGUUGAUAUUAAUGUUAUUGGGAAUGAAUUGAUUUAAUUUGUUGAAGGAAAUGCAAUAUACAAGUUUCCAAAGAGACACUGUUCAUGUUUUUAAAUCAUUGUUCAUUGUUCAUGUUUUUAAAGCAUUGUAAUGCUAAAAGACCUAUGCAGUGUAAUAAAAUACAAACAAAUAAAUGCAAGAGCAAAAAGCCUAGUAGAUCCAAACUAGGUGGAGUCUUAGAGCAGAGUGUAUUGUCCUAUGGAGGAUCCUGGAGCAAGCAGAGAAUAUCUAGCCUAUAAUGUGCCUUUUGAAGAGUGAAAUAGAAAAUAAUGGAAGAGAGUGUAGAAUAGAGUUUAGAGGUAGAAAAGUAGUCAGGGCACUGAAUAUCAGAAAUGUAAGCAGCCACAGAAAAAGCCAGAAUAUCAGACCAGACUGUAUUCUUGUAACAUAAAAUGUCUGAGCCUAGAGUGGGCUUCAAACCACAGAGAGUUAAAGCUAGGAGGGCCCUUAGAACAUGGAUUUUUAGUUGAGAAAGUGCUGAGAAUAGGAAAUCUCUUAGUUGCAAGAGAGGGGUUUUAUUUUUUUAUGUACUCAGUGGAUCAAGGUGUUAGGAAUGACAGUAUCAAAUAACAUUUUUUGGUAGGAGAUCAAACACUCAUUUCAAUAUAAUUUAUGUCAACACAGUGGUGAUACUUGGAAUUAAAAUUCAUGUUCUGAACCACACAGCCAAAGGGCACAGUGGCAACCCCAAAACUCCCCAACGAAGCCCAAACCAUACAAAAAUAACAUUCCAUGUAGUGCCUUCAGCAGGAAAGACUAUUUCUAUUGACUAUGGGUUUAAAGGGAGAUGCUUGCAAUGUACUAAAAUAAAAAUGAAUGUACAAAUUAAAGAGGGAAAAGAAAGCCAGAAUAUCAGAGGAUUGAUCAGGGGUUUAAGACAACAGGGUUGGGAGAUUCUUUAGAAUGUGAAAAGUCUGAUUUGGAGGUGACUUUCAAGAAAUUAAUAUUGGAGGCUGGUAAGAGUUUGGAAUCGUAAUUUCAGAAAUAGCAGAGACUUAAGAAUCUGAAACACAGAUUGACCGAAUUUGGAAGGGCUUUCCAAUGCACAGCAUUCAUAGCUAGGAAGAAGCCUUUUUUAAUGUGCUCAGCGGGGCCAGUGUAUUGGGAAGGACAGUGGGCAAGGGUAUUGGGAGGGACAGGUAAAUUAGAAAAAAUAGUAACAAUGUCUAUUUCUGCUAUGAGAUGCAAAAUUUAUUUCUAUACCAUUUCUAUACAAUUUUAAUGCUCUGAAUCAAAAGUCAGGUCCUGAAGUACAUCGCUUAAGUGGAAAGGUGAACAUACAGUGUCUUAUUUGAAUAUCCUUAUUCCCCUCUCCCCAUUUUUUUCUAAGCAUGGAUGGAUCAGGUAAGAUUGCUGUGGAUAUUAAUGUUAUAUGAUGCAGUGCAUAGCGUACUGGACCUGGAAUCGGGAAGACCUGAGUUCAAAUCUGGCCUCAGAAACUUACUUGCUGUGUGACCCAGGACAUGAAUUGGUUCUAUUUAUUAAAAGUAUAAAAUGUUAAAUAUGCAAGUGCUUUUAAAUCACUGUAUUGAUAAGUAUGUGCAAUGUAAUAAAUAAAAAUCAAUUAAAAGGAAAAAAGAAACCUAGACUAUCAGAGAAGGGAGGGGUUUAAGCUGACAGAAGUAUGAAAUUCUUUAGAACAUGGAAUGUGUGACUUGGAGGAGCCUUUCCAGAGAAUAUACUGGAGGUUGGAUAUUACUCAGAAUAGAGAACCGCAGAUGCGGGAGUGACCUAAGAAUCACAGAAUGUAAGAAUGGGGAGAGCCUUUAAAAACACAGAUUGUCAGAGCUGGGAAGACUGGAAAGGAGACCUUUUAAAAUUUUGCUCAGUGGGCCAAUGUUUUGGAAGGGACAGGGACAUUUUAAAUAACACUAAUGAUGUCUUUUUCUAGUAUAAGCAGCAAUAUUUAUUUUGAUUACAUUUAUAUCUGCACAAUUUUGAUGCUCUGAAUUAAAAGUUAGGUCCUGAACUACAUUGCUAAAGUGGAAAGGUAAGCAUACAGUGCCUUAUCUGGAUUACCCCCCCCCCUAAAGUCUGAGCAUGGAUCAGGUAAGAUUCCUGUGGAUUUUAAUGUUAUGUGAUGCAGUGCAGAGAGUGCUGGACCUGGAAUCCGGAAGAUCUGAGUUCAAAUGUGGCCUCAGACACUUACUUGCUGUGUGACCCAGGACAUGAAUUGGUUGUAUUUAUUGAAAACUAUAAAGCGAUAUGUACACAAGACUUAAAAGGCUACCAUUUGUGCUUUCACAUCAUUGUAAACAUGCAAUGUCAUAAAAUAAAAUAAAAGGAAAAGAAAAAGAAAAAGAAAAAGGCUCCUAGAAGGUCAGAGUGAGGUUGGGCCUUAGACCAGAGUACUGUGAGGUUGGGGGAGAACACUGUUUUUCAAGCAGAUGUUGGAGGUGGCAGAUAGCUUUCGCAAACAGAAAUUUCAGGGCUGAUAGGUCAGGCUGCACAUUGAAUGUCAAAACUGAAAGUGGACACAAGCCAGGAGAUCAGACCUGGGAGGAGAGCAAGUUGGGAGACAUCUUAGCAUCUGGAAUGCCUGAGGUAGAUGGAGCCCUAGAAACCUGGGAUGGAGAGGAGCCUUAGAAGACAGGAAAUAGGAGAUGUUCAGGUCCUGAGAACCCAAACUAUUAGAGCCCAUGGGAUCUUUGGAUAUAGAGUAUCAGGCCUAUGAAUAGGCCUAGAGAAGAGAAUCUUAAUGCUGGGAGGGGACUUAGUACACACACUAGCAAAAGCUGGAGUAUAGCGUUUCUUAUUUGCGCAGUGGGCCACAUUACAGGGAGUGUCUGGUUAUAUUAGAAGGAAGAAUAAGCAUAUUGAUGGUGUAAGAUGCAACACAUACUUCAACAUAUUUUACAUCAGCAGUUUUGAUGCUCAAAACUAAAAGUCAGAUUGGGACAGAGACAAAGAAGUACAUUAAUAAUACAUUGCCAUAUUUGGCUAACAAAAACCUCCACCAAGCCAUAAUUCCCUGUAUGGCCCUAAUCAGGUAAGACUGGUAUCAAUAACAACAUUUUAGGGAAUGAAUUGGUUAGAUUUAUUGAAGAAAUUUAUUAAAUAAUAUUAAAUUUAUUCAAGAAAAGUGUUAAGUUCAAGAUUCAAAAGGUACACCAUUUGUGCUUUUAAAUCAUGAAAUGAAAAGACAAAACCCUUGUAGAUGAGAGUUGGGUGGAGGUGGAGAGUAGGGGCCAGGCAGGUCCUUAAGUGUUGAAUGCCUGUACUGGCAUGUGCCUUUUGAGGGGUAAAGUUUAGAAUUGGAAGAACACUGGGGAUAUUGAAUGGCAGAAUUGCCAGUAGCCAGAGAAACCCAAAUGUCUGACCUGGGAGAGGUACUUGGAACUUAAAAUGCCUGAGCUGAAAGGCUCUUGAGAACAGUAUUAGAGGUCAAAGGGACCUUAAAAUUCAUACUGUGGGAAAUGGAUCAACGUAGGAGGACCCAGAGUGGCAGAGCUGGUGGGACCUUAGAACAUGAAUCCUUUAAUUCUAUAGGCCCUUUCCCAAGGGGAUCCCAGAAUUAUGAGAGGUCUUGGAACCCAGUGUCAGAGUUAGAACAGGGCUUAAACCACAGGAUAUCGGAGCAGGGGGGAACCCUUGAAAUAUAGAUUGGUAGAAUUAGGAGGGUCCUGAGAACACAAAUAUAGCUUGGAGGGAAUGCUUCUUGUUUUGCUUUCAUUUUUUUACUCUGGGCUCAGAUAUGGGGAAUGACUGGCCCAUUUAAAGAAUCAACAAUAUAUCUUAUAGCAUAAGAUGCAACAUUCAUUUCAACAUAAUUUUUGUCAGCAAAAUUGGUGCUCAGGAUUUUAAGAGUUGGGGCCUGAACUGCACAGAGGUAAAGGACAUAAAAAUACAGAGCAUCAUCUGGGAAACAAAAUUAAAAUGAUUUCUUUGCACUGUUUUGAUUGGGUAAGAAUACAAUUGAUAUUAAUGCUACUGAUCAUUAAUUUUUUAAUCUCUUGAAAACAAGCAUUAAGUAUGCAAUACUCAAAGGCAAUGUCAUUUGGGCUUUUAAAUCACUGCUUUUCUAAGAAAUAUGCAGUGUCAAAUUAUAAACAAAAAUCUCUCAAAGGUCAGAGCUACAUGAGGCCUCAGAAUAUAAAAUGUUUAAGAGGUUCUCAAAACAGAAUUGUAUGACUAAAGGAAAACUGAAAAUACAGUUACUUAUCUGAUUAAAUAAAAAGGAUCCAACUAAUUUAUGCAGUGUCUUGACCAUGUAAGACUCCUACUGAUGUUCAAAUUAUCAGUAUUAAAUACAAAGUAUUUUAAAGGUAUUAAUUACACAGAAUCCAAAAGCAACAUCUUUUGUGUUUUUAAAUCAUUGUAUUGUUGAGACCCAUAUGUGGUGUAACAAUAAAAGAAAGGAGGGGGAGCUACAGAUUCAGACCAGGAUGGGGUCUUGGCAUGUAGACAGUCAUGGAAUGGUAGGGUGUUUAGAACACAGAAUGUAUGACUGCUUGGGUGCCUUUUAACAGAUUUUAUUGGGCAUAGGAAAGAGCUUAGAACACAAGAUUUGGAGGGCAAGUUGAGCAUUUUAAAUUAGAACUGAGGAUUGGCACAGAAGCCAGAAUAUCAGACUUGGGAGGGAACUUAGGACAGUGUUUUUUAGAGCCCGGAACACCUGAGUUGGAUGGGGCUCUAGAACGUGGAGUAUCAGAUGGAGAAAAGCACAAGAUUCAUAAUACACAAAAGUGGGAGGUGUUCAGGACUAGAGAACAUGAAUUGGCAAGAUCCUAGGACACCUUAGCUCACAGAAUGUCAAGCCUAGGGACACAGAGAAGGGAAAUAAGAAAGCCUUUAAAAGACAGAAUGUUAUUACUAGAAGUGGCAGGAAACCAGAACAUUUCAGGGAUGGGACUGCCCUCAGAACCUAAAAUCCUGAGAGAAGUGGGGCCUUUAAAACAAUAGCAAAGAUGAGAAGGAAUUUUUCUUAAUCAUUGGGCUCAAGUUAGAGGUAUGCUCAAAGAGAUUGGUUUUACACAAUGCAGUGAUAUGAAAUACUCAUUUCGAUAAAAUUUAUAUCAGCAAAAUACUGAUGUUUCAGAUUAAAACUCCGGUCCUGAACCACACAACCAAAAGGGAGAACAUGGUGCCUUUUUUGUAACUUCUCCCUCCCUCCCCCCCAGAACCAGAAAAAAGUAUUGCAUGCAAUGCUUUAGGAGACUUAGAAUGCAAACUAUCAGGGCAAGAAGGGGCCUUAAAACACUGUAGCUGGGAAGGAGUUUUAUGUGCUCCGUGGACCAAGGCAGUGGAAGGGACAAGUUAAUUUAAAAAAAGUAAUAAGGCACACUUGGAGUAUAAUACACAACAAGGAUUUCAAUAUAAUUUCUCUCAGAAUCGUUGUGAUGCUCUGAAUUGAAAGUCAGGUCUUAGACCAUGCAAAGAGGAAAAGUAAGACAAAAAGCCUUAUCUGGCUCUAUCAAAAGUAGUAUACAUGGCCUUGGUCAGGUAAGAUUGCCCUCAUAACUGACUAUUUACUGAAAAAAUAAAGUGUUAAAUGGGGGUGUGUUUGUAAGUGUUUUAGCAAUGGGCUCUGGGGGAAAGUUGAUACGUGACACACUUUUACAUUUAAUUUGCCUUAGUAACAUUUUCUCUCACUUUUGUAGCUUUUGUUCAUUUCUGAGAUGUAAAUACUUACACUAAACAUUUUACAUGAGGCUUUCUCGAUUCAGCACAAGCUUGUUCAGAGUACACCAUUGUUAAGUAUGGCAGCAUUUCAUAUCAUUGGACAACUAAGAACCAUAUUUGAAGUCAUAAAGAUGAACAGAAAAAAUAAAUCCCAGCUGGAUGGGGCCUUAGAAUUUAGAAAUCCAGAGUUGAGCGGUGCCUUUUAAGGAAGAAAUGUGGGUGUGGGAGAGAUCUUAGACUACUAGGAGGCAUCUUAAAAUGGACAAUGACUAAGAUGAAGUUGUCUCUAGAACUGGGAUUGUCACGGUCUUCUAAUUACAGAGAUUGUCAGAACUUACAGGACAAUAGGAAACAAUUGAAUAUCUGAGCUGGGAGGAAUUUUAGAAACAAGAAUUACCUGGGAUGAUGGAAUCCUUAAAUUUAGAAGAUAAGAGUUUGGAGGGACCUUAAAACAGGAAGUAGGAGAUGGUCAUUUUGAGAACUCAAACUUUUGGGAUCCUGUGGAACAUCUGAACCCAAUGUCAAGCUUGGACAUAGCCCUAGAGAAGGAGAAUCUGUCCUGGAGGCAUAUUUACAACAGGGGAUAACAGAUCUAAGAGACCUUAAGAGCAUGGAAUAACAGAAAUGGUAGUAAGACCUCAGAGUAAGAGUUGAGAAGGAUCUUAACAUAUUGUAACAUUUGGAAGGCACCUUGGACCAGAGUUCCUAUCUAGGAUGGAGUGGGGUUUUUAAAUUAGUAGGCCAAAGUAUUAGGAUCAUUCACUUGUUUAAACAAUGUAACAAUAGAUGGUAUGGUAGAGAACAUGGAGGCAGCUAGAUGGCUCGGUGGAUAGAGUGCUGGGUUUGGAGUCAGACAUAAGCUAGAUGACUAGGCAAGUCACUUAAACUCCAUUUGCCUUAAUCUCCUGGACUCCAGCAUCUUUGCCAAGAAAAUCCCAUACGGUGUCUUGAAGAAUCAGAUAAAACUGAACAACAAUGCAAUAUCUAUCUUAAUAUAGUGUAUAUUAGCUCAGUUUUAAUUCUCUGAGCUCAAGUCAGAUCUUGAACCAUAGUGACAAUGCAAAAAUAUGCAAUACCUUCCCUGACCACCAACAGAAAAGUAAUUACAGUGCCUCUGUCAAUAAGACUGCCAUUUAUAGGCCUGUUGCUCUUAAUAAGUUGGUUAUGUCUAUUUGGGCAAAACUUUUUAUGUAAACAAUAUUCCAAGGAAACAGGUUUUAAAUAAUCAGAUUGCUAAGAAACAUGAGGUGUAAUAAAUUGAAAAGGGAAAAAAAACAUUGGCAGGUCAGAGCAGAGAGGGAGUAUUUAGAAUAUUGUUAUGGCUGGGAAGUCCUUUCCAAAGAGAAUGUUGAAAGUGGGAGAGAGCUCAGAAUACAAAAUUUCAGAGCUGCAAAGGGAGUUGAGACACUGGAAGAAUCAGGAGGAGACAGAAGCCAGAAUAUCAGAACAGGUAGCACUCUUAAAAUACAGUGACCCACCUAGGAAUCUAGAAUGCCUUAGCCGAAAGGAACUCUAGAACCUGGAAUAGCAGAAGUGGGUGAAACCUUAAAACUCAGAAAAGUAGGUUUUUGAAAAGAAUGCCUAGAGUAUUGAAUUCUGUGGACCACUUUGGUAUUUGAUCAUAACAUCAGGCACAGGCAUAGCUUUAGAUGGAAGAAUAUCAAAUCUAGAAGUGGUCUUAAAAUUUCAGAUUAUCAGGAGGGCUCUGAACAAAGAUAAAACUGGCCAGGAUUUGGGAAGCCAAUGAAUGGGCUGGGAAGCAGUUCUGUCUAUGUGUUCCAUAGGAUAAAGUAUUAGGCAGAACAGGUUGCUUUAAAAAAAUAAUGAAAUUAUGUGUUAUGACUCUGCAACAUUUAUUUCAAUAUAGUUUAUUCUGGCAUAGUUUUGAUGCUCUGGGUUAAAACUUGGGCCCUAUACCCCACAAAGAGGAGAAGUAAAAAACCAAAGCUCUGUUGGGGUAACCCCACCACCCAGUGUCUUAAUUAGAUAAGGCAGCUGUAUAUUUUUCGUCUUAUUAGCAGCAAAUUUCCUGUAUCAGAAAAGGAAUUUACUAAGUGCACACAAAUUCUCAGGGCCACCAUUUAUGCUUUUAAAACACUGCAUUGCUAUAAAAUAUACAGUAUUAUUUUUUAAAAAUGCAAAGUUGGUGGGGCAGCUAGGUGGCUCAGUGGGUUGAGAGUCAGACCUAGAAAUGGGAGGUCCUGGGUUCAAAUGUGGCUCAGACACUUCCCAACUGUGUGAUCCUGGGCAAGUCAUUUAACCCCCAUUUGCCUAGCCCUUACCACUCUUCUGCCUUGGAGAUAAUACACAGUAUUGACUCCAAGAUGGAAGGUGAGGGUUUUUAUUUUUAAAAAAUGCAAAGUCAAAAACUUGAGUUAGAAUAAGUUGGAUCUUGGAAGUCAUUUUCAAAGCUAGGAAGGCAUUCCAGAGACAGAAUGUCAGAAUGUGGAGUGAACAUCAAGCCAGAAUAUCAGAACUAUUAGAACAUAGAAUGUAUAAGCUGGGGGCCAUCUUGAAGUCCUGAUCACUUUAGCUAGAGAGGAGCCUAUGGGAAUGUCAGUGGGAAGAAUGCUAAAAUAAGCAGAAAGGGUCAAGUAAAUUGGAAUACAAAAUGUCUAAGCUGGAAGGUGUGUGGCAAACAGGUAUCAGAACACAAGAAGUAGGAGAUAGUCAAAGUUGGAGAACACAUGGGGUCUGUGUAUUGGAAUGCCAAGCCUGGGAGGAACCACAGAAUGUCAGAGGGACACUUAUAACAGGGAUAUCCGAAUAGGUAAGUCCUCCCAACACAGACAUUUCUGGAAAAGAAUUGUCCUUAGGGCUUUAGAACAUAAAUCAUAGCUGGGAAGGAGUUUUGAACUUUGAUUUUUAAAACAGCAUAUUUGUGGUAUGAUAUGCAAUAUUUUAUUUAGGAUUGGCACAGUGCUGAUACUAUGAAUGAAAACGUGGGUCCCAACUCACAUAGCCAAAGAGGAAAGGAGAAAGCACAGUGCCUAAUAGGGCUUUUUAAAAAGCCUCCAUGAGAAAAAAAUUUCCUACAGUUCCCUGACAGCAGUAGUAAGAAGGGGCCUCUGUUCAGGGAACAUCACUGAUACCAAGGAACCCACCACACAGCCAGUGAUGGUCAGAAUUGGAAGAAAACAUAGAAGCCGGACUAUCAGAACUUCAGAACACUGAGACCGUAGUUUGGCCGAAUUGUGGGGUGUCUUAAAAACACCUGACUUGGAUGAAACUCUAGCACCUGGAAUAUCAGAAGUGGGAGGGACCUUCUAAAACAAAAAGUCAGCCUGAGAAAAGAAAUUGUUGAAGCGAGUAGCAUUUGAGAACACAGGAUAUUUGACCUAGGAGUAGUCAUAGAGAGGAGACUGUCAUAGCCAGGAGGGCACAUAAAAGAAGGAAUGUCAGAACUUAGAAGGCACAAAAUGUCAGGAGGAGACUCUCCUUGAUGAGGGAGCUUUCACAACAUAUACAGAGCUGAGAGAAGAGAUCUUGGAACACACAAUAGUAUAACGAGCUUUUUUGCUUGUGUUCAAUCUGUGCUGCAAUCUUUAUUUUAAUGUAAUUUAUAACAGCACAGUGGUGAUGCUCUGAAUUAAAACUCAGGUCUUGAGCUUCACAGCCAGAGAAAAUAGUCCCUUAUCUGGCCCCAAAAAGAUUCUAUUCAAUUGCUUGAUGAGGUAAGAUGGCUACUGAUGAUACUUUUAUUGGCAAGUUGCCAGUAAAAAAGGAUUUGAAAAGAUCAUCUGUGCUUUUAAAAUACUAUAUUACUAAGGCACAUAUGAAAUGCAAACAAACAAAUAAAUAAUCCCUAGAAGGCUAGAACAGCCCUGAUACAUCCAGUGUCUGGGCUGGGAGGAACCUUUCAAGGAAGGAAGUUGACAUUGUGAGAAAGUUUAUUUUUCAAUGCACUUUGAACCUACAUGGGAUGUCAGAGCUAGGAAAGCUCUUAGACCAAGUGGUGUAGAUGGGAGAGGUAUUAUUAGAACUUCAAGAGUCAGACCUGAGAACAUAAAACAUGAUAGUUGUUUAAGUGGUUUUGAUUAUGCUGAACACAUCAGAGUAUGGAAGAGAGAUAAAAUUUAAAAUAAUAAAGGAUAUUCAUAGUAUCUGUGCAACAUUUCUUUUCAUGAAAUUUGUAUCAGCACAGUGAUGAUGCUCUGAGUCAAAACUCAGGUCCUUCACCACACUGCCAAAAAAGGAAAGGUGUAGGGGCUCCCUGAAAAGAAAAACAACCCCCCCCACUAACUCCACGAAGUAUCCUAACUUGGGGAAACUGUUGCUACUAUAAACUAUUAGAGGUAAUUCCUACAAGGCAUUAAAAGAACACUAUUUUUUAAAAUUGUUUUGGUUAAGAAACAUUUGGUAUAAACAAUUGAUAGAAAAAAAUACCCUAAUUUGCCACAAAAGAUUGGAACUUGGAAAACCUAAUGUCAAGAUGGGGAGGGUCCUUAGAUUCUUUAGAAUUGAGGCAACUGGAGGAAGUCGGGAAGACCAGAGUUCAAAUCCAGAAUCAGACACCCAGUUUCUUGGCUAUGUGACCCUGGAAACGUCACUAUCUGCCUCAGUUUCCUCAAUGCAAUUAAUAAUAGCACUUACCUUACUGGUUGUUGUGAGAACCAAAUGGAAUAAAAUGACAUAAUUAAUAUGUCUCAAGCAUGUGGCAGAGUGACUGGCACAUAGUAGUUAUAUACAUAAUAAAUGCUUAUUCCCUUUCCAAGAAUCAGGAAUGACUGGGCUGAGAGGAACCUUUCCAGGGAGAAUGCUGGAGAGAAUUUAAAUGCAGAAUUCCAAAGCUGAGAGUCCUAUCUAGGCUUCUAAUGUCCUAGAACAGGAAGUGGUCAAAGAAGUCAAACUAUCCAGCCUGGGAGGGUACUUAAAAUGGAGAUGGUCUGAGGCAGGAAUUGUUUUAGAAUCAAGAAUGCAUGUGAUGGUUGGGGCUCCAGAAUCAGGAAUAUCAGAGGGGGGGGAUGAUAACAGAGUGGGAGAUGGUUGGAGCCCCAAAGCACACAUUAGCCAAGUCUGUGGGGUCUUACAUUAUAAAUAGCGGAGUGCCAGGCUAGGAGAGCUCUUAGACCACAGAAAGUCAGAGCCAGGAGGGACCUUAGAAUCUAGAUCUUCAAACUUGUGAGGUGUAUCAAACUCCAUAGAAAAUAUUUUGAUUUAGAAAGCCACAAAAUAAUCUCUCUGCUGGGUUUCAUUUUUAUUUUAUUUAGCAUUUCCCAGUUACAUUUUAAUCUGGCUGUGACUGCACUCAGGAAUUUGCUGACCUGAGUUCCAUACUUCUGUUUUAGAACAUACCAAACCACUGCUAGGAAGGAUGGUUUCUGGCUUCAGGGAGGGGCAAAUGGGCAGUAUUCAUUGGGUGGAAAUAAUAGACUAGUCAGGUUAAUUUGUAAAAGAAUUCAAAUGGAUAUACUAUGCAACUAAAUGUUGUUUGAAUAUAAUUUAUAUGGGUGACCCUCAGAAUUAAGAUCAGGUUCUGAACCUUAUAGCCAGAGAAAAGGUGAAAAUAAACUGUCUUGAAUGACAAAAAGCAAACCAAAACACCCUAGUAAAAAAGGAAUUCCACACAGUGCUUGGGCUCAGUCAGAUCUAUAUCGAGACCACCAUUAUUGAUGACGAAGGCUAUUUAUUAGAAACACUCAGGAUUGGAUCUAAAAGAUAUGUUAUUGGGCUUUGAAAUCAUUGCUUUACGCUACAAACGUGUGGUAAAGAAAUCUUUUGAAUGAAGUGAAAGAAAGACAUUGCUGGAAGGCCAAAACUGGCGAGGGUAUUGGAACUGAAACUAUCCAAGUCCUUAGAGUCUGUAGAAUGCCGGGGCCAACAGAAAAUGUUGGAAGGGGAUUUAAAAUCCGGAAUUUCAGAGCUGGGAGUUCAUUCUAGAUGCUGACUCCAAGAAGGGAAAUUUGAAAUACGAGUCCAAAUAUCAGGUUUGCUAGAAUAAAGCUCUUCCGAGACCCGAGGCAUCUUAGAAUCAAAGUCUGAGCUGAAUGGGGUCCAGAAUCUAAUAAUAUAGGACCUGGGAGAGGCCUUAGAAGACAAUGGCAGAUAGGCUGAGCUGGUGGGAUCUAGGUGGACAGAGGACAAGCACAGACAGUGAAGCCUGGGAGUGGCCAUUGGUAGGAAAAUGUUAGGGUUCUGAAGGCUCUUAGGACAGAUAUACACUUUUGCAUUUUCCAUAUUUCUAUAUAAUUUCUGUACCAUGACAAAAUAUUUUGUUAUUAAAACCUAGGACCUGGGGGCAGGUAGGUGGCUCAGUGGAUAGAGAGCCGGGCCUGGAGACAGGAGGUCCUGGGUUCAAAUUUGGUCUCAGACACUUCCUAGCUAGGUGAUCCUGGGCAAGUCACUUCACCCUCAUUGCCUAGCCCUUACUACUUUUUUGCCUUAAAAGCAAUGCUUGGGCCUUGAAACAACACAGCCAAAAGGAAAUUGGGGAAAACAUAGUGCCCUAUGUGGCUUAAAAAAAGGGAAAAAAUGGGCAGAGUAAUUCCAUGCAGUGUCUUGAUCUGGCAAGACAUCGAGAUUAUUAUCGGUAAUGAAUGACAGAUCUUAAUUAAAGACAAUUAGGUGUUAAGUACAUGGAGCAGCUAAGUGGUGAAGUGAACAGGGCACCAAACUGGAAAUAAGUUAGACUCUUCCUGAGUUCAAAUUUGGCUUCAAGACAUACUUUCUAGCUGUGUAACCCUAGGCAAGUCAUUUAGCUCUGCCUGAGUUCCUCUUAUAUAAAAUGAGCUGGAGAAGGAAAUGGCAAAGCACUCCAGUGCCUUUGCCAAGAAAUCCCCAAAUGUGAUCAUAAAGAUGUGAACAUGACUGAAGAGCAAUGAAACAACACAUAGGUUUUAAAAGGGAUGCCAAGUUGUGCUUUUAAAAUGUUGUAUUGCUAAGAUUCAUCGGGAGUGUGUUAAAGUAAAUGUUAAGAAAUCCCUAGAAUGUUGGCCAUGGGAAGAUUCUAGAUGUCUGGGCUGGAGAUACCUUUCAAAGGAAAAUGUUGAUGGUAGGAGAGAGAGCUCAGAAUAGGGAAUUUACGAGCAAGAGAGCAGUCCUAUCUCUGAAGGCUAUAGAGACCACAGAAAAACCAGAGUAUCGGAAGUGGGAGAGCAUUUAGAUCAGUGCACUUGUGAGCUGAGAGAUAUGUUGGAAUCCAGAAUGCCUGAGCUCUGUUGGUUCUAAGAACCUGGAAUAGCAGGAUUCAGAGGACCUGAUAACAUAGAAAGGGAGAUGGUCAGAGCUGGAAGGGCACGUAGAACUAAGUACGUCAGAAGUAGGAUGGGCAGUUAGGUGACACAGCAGAUCUUCCUGAAUUCAAGUCCAGCCUCAGACCCUGGGCAAGUCACUUUUAUUUUAACCCUGGUUGCCUCAGUUUCCUCAUCUAGAAAAUGAGCUGGAGAAGGAAAUGGAAAACUGUGUGAGUUUGGGCAAGCACUUCACCCUAGUUGCCUUGGUUCUCUCAUUUGUCAAAUGAGCUGGAGAAGGAAAUGGCAAACCGCUCUUGUAUCUCUGCCAAGAAAACCCCAAAUGGAGUCCCUGAGAGUUGGACAACAAUGAGAGGAGCCCUAAAAUAACAAUAGCAGUGAUGAAAUGAACCUUAGAAUAGAGGACUUCUGAUCUGUGUGCUGUAGUGGAAAGGAUUUUGAUCUUUUGAAUGCACUCAGUGGGUCAGUGUCUUGGGAUCCACAAGUAAAAUGUAAAAGCAAUAUAUGGAGAUGUAAAUGUGCAACAUUACUUUUCACAUCAUUUAUUUCAGUGCGGUGGUGCAGCUCUGUAUUAAAACUCAGGGAAUGAAUUAAUAGCCAAAAGGGAUUGGUGAAAAAUGCAGUGCCUUAUUUGGUUCCAUAAAAGAAAAAAAAAACGGCAAAAAGUAAUUCUGUUCAGUGCCUUGUUCUGCUCUGUGGUGAAUCUGGAUUAAAACUCAGGUACUAAAUGAAUUCAGCCAAAGAGUGAAAGGGGGGAAUGCUGCCUUCUAAGGCUCUAAAAUACGGACUAAUCAGGCAAAACAAGUUAUCCCAACCUGUGCCUUGUCUGCUCUGUGGUGAACCUUUGUAUUAAAACUCAGGUACUAAUCCAAUAAUAACUAACCAGGAAAAGGGGGAAUGCUGCCUUCUAAGGCUCUAAAAUAUGGACCAAUCAGGCAAAACAAGUAAUCCCAAGCUGUGCCUUGUCUGCUCUGGUGAUCCUUUGAAUUACAACUCACUCAGGUACAAAUCCAAUAUAUCCAAAGAGGGAAUGGAGGGAAUUCAGUGCCUUCUCAGGCUCCAUAAAGCGGAAAAAAACCGGGUAAAAUAAUUCCAAGCAGUGCCUUGCUUUGCUCUGUGGUGAAUAUGGAUUAAAACUCAGGUACUAAAUGAAUUCAGCCAAAGAGUGAAAGGGGGGAAUGCUGCCUUCUAAGGCUCUAAAAUACGGACUAAUCAGGCAAAACAAGUUAUCCCAACCUGUGCCUUGUCUGCUCUGGUGAUCCUUUGAAUUACAACUCACUCAGGUAUUAAACCAAUACAGCCAACAGCAAAAGAAAAAAAAUGCAGUGCCUUCUCAGGCUCCAUAAAAAGGAAACGAAACGGGUAUUAUUUCCAUGCAGUGCCUUGAUUUGCUCUGGUGAUCCUUUGAAUUACAACUCAGGUACUAAACCAAUACAGCCAAAGAGGAAAAGGGUGCAGUGCCUUCUCUGGCUCCAUAACUAGGAAACAAAACGGGUAUUAUUUCCAUGCAGUGCCUUGAUUUGCUCUGUGGUGAACCUUUGAAUUAAAACUCAGGUACUACUAAUCCAAUAAGAGGAAAGAGGGAAUGCUGCCUUUUAUGUCUCUAAAAUAAGGAAAAAUCAGGCAAAACAAGUAAUGCCACAUAGUGCCUUGUUCUGCUCUGUGGUGAUCCUUUGAAUUAAAACUCAGGUACUAAAUCAAUUCAGCCAAAGACGAAAAGGGGGAAAUGCAGUGCCUUCUCAGGCUCCAUAAAGAGGAAACAAAACGGGUAUUAAAAUUAUUUCCAUGCAGCGCCUUGAUUUGUGCAGUGGUGCAGCUCUGUAUUAAAAAACUCAGGGACUGACCCAACAUAGCCAAAGGGGAUUGGUGAAAAUGAAGUGCCUUAUUUGGUUCCAUAAAGAAAAAAAUGGGCAAAAAAGUAAUUGCAAGAAGUGCCUUGAUCAGAUCCUUGGUUACUAGGGAGUGUAUGUCACCCACAACAACUUUUGAAACUGCAUUUAAAAGGGAGCACCAAGAAUGCUGAAUGUCUGAUAUCAAAAUGAUCUAAAUUUACAGAGGUCGUGAAUCACACAAAGAGGAAACGUGAACAUACUGUGCCUAGUCUGGCAUCCCCCCCCUAAAAAAAAGAAAAGAAAAAACCCGACCAAAAAGUAAACCCAUGCAGUGCCUUGAAGGGUAAGACAGCUGGUGCUAUUCCUAUUAUUCUUAAUGAAUGGGGAGUAUUUAUUGAAAAAAAAAUAAGGUAAGUUCACAGGAUUUAAGUGGGGCAAUAUUGGGGAUUUUAAAUAAUUUUAUUUUUAAAACUUGUAUCCAAAGUAAUAAAACUGAACCAAAGAGAAGGUAAGCCCCCAUUCUACCCCCUAAAAACAAAACAGAAAACCUCUAGACUAUCAAAAAAGGGAGGAGUCUUAAGAAUACAAAAUAUCAGGGCUGGGAGAAUCCUUAGAAUAUGGAAUGUCUGGACUUUGAAGAGAAUAUACUGGCAGCUAGAUAGAGUUUAGAGUAGAGAAUUUCAUCCCUAGGAUAGUAGUCAAGUGACUCUGAAUGCUGGAAAUUGAAAUAGAAGCCAGAAUAUCAGACCUGAGAGAGACUGUCCAAUUUGGAAUCUGAAAGAUGGGAGGGAGCUGAAAACAAAUCAUUUGACCUGUGGGAUGUCAGAACUGAGAGACUGAGAGGGAAGGCUCAUAAAGCAAGGAUGAGCAGAUCUGAAAUGGUCCUGAGAACAUUCAAUAUCAUUCCUGGGUCCAGGGUAUUGGGAGUGUCAGGAACAUUUCAAAGAGAGCAACAAAUGAUCUUUAUGGUAUGAGAUGCACACUUAUUUACAGUAUAAGUUAUAUCAGCAUAGUGGUGGUGCUCUGAAAUCAAACUGAGAUCCUGGUAUACACCUUCAAAGAGGAAAGGUGAAAAUGCAAUGCCCCCACAAAACAGCCCUGAAAAAAUCAUUCCGUGCACUGACUUGAUCUGCUAAGGCUGCCAGUAGCAUUCCAAUUAUUGCUAAUGUAUGGAGAGUAUUGGAAAAACAAGGUAAGUAUGCAAGAUUUAGAAGUGAUGUCAUUUGGGAUUUUAAGUUAUUGUUAAGUUACAUAGAAGGCAGUAAAAUAAGUUAGCUAUAGAAAUACCCUAGAAUAAUAGAAGAGGGAGGAACUGAAGAAUAAGUGGACAUGCCUUUGAAGAGAAUAUAUUAGAGGACAGAUACAGUUUUGAACAUAGGAUUAUAAAACUGGAAGGGCAAUCCAGACUUUUAAUUGUCAAGUUAGGGAGUUGGCACAAAAACCAGAAUACCAGACCUGGGAGAGGAUGUAGAACAGAGAAUGAAGGAGCUUGGAGACAACUUAGAAUCAAGAAGUGUUGAGCUGGAUGGGGCCGCAGAACUUGGAAUAUCAACCAUCGGGGGAAACCUAAAACAAAAGAGCAGAUAAGAGAGGGUGAGAGUAUAAAAAGAUUGAUUCAGAGGGAGCUAAGUAUACAUAGAAGGUCAGGUUCAAGAGUGAGGCCACAGAGAAGAGAAAGACAGAGCAGGCCAGGCACAUGGAAAGCCCUUAGAAAACAGAACUAGGAGAGCCAUUCAUAUCUUAGAAUUCAGAGCUUAGAGGUCUCUUGGGACAUAAAUUGGCAAAUCUGAAAUGGUUCUGAACAAUAACAACAUUUGGAGGGAGUUUUGCUGAUGUACUCAGGGCUAUGUCUAAGCAUGGGGUGGGUCCAUUUGGACAACAUAUAUUUAUAUGUUUGAUUUUAUUUAUAUACGUGUAUAUUUAUGUUAUGAUGCAGCAUAUGUUUCAGUAUCAUUUAUAGCAGCACAGUGGUGAUGCUCUGAAUGAAAAUUCUGAUCCUCAACCAUAUGGUCAAAGGGAAAGUGAUCACUUUAUCUUGCUUAGGGAAAAAAAAAACCAUUGAAAAAGCUCUGACAAAAAUAGUCAUUCCAAUGUAGUGCCUUAAUCUGGUCUGACUGCUACUACUCUUCCCAUUAUUGAUAAGGAAUUGGGGAGUGCUUAGGGAAACAAAGAAGGUGGUAAGUGCAGAGGAGUCCAAAAGCACACCAUUUUCUCUUUCUAAAUCAUUAUAUUGAUCAAUCUCAUAUGCAGUGUAAUAAAGUAAAAAUAAGUAAUUGAAAAGAAAAAAAGCCUGAAAUAGCAUAGCAAAUUAUGGUGAGAGAACAGAAUUCCAGGACUGAGAGGGAAAGACCCUAGACCAGAGUGUCUGGUGUGGAGGGGACUUUCUAGGGAGAAUUGUUUGUGAGGUCAGAGAGAAUUUCAGAGUAGGGAGGGCAGUCAGGGCUCAAAAUGAUAUGCCUGGGAGUGGACAGAGAAGCUAGAAUAUCAGAGGCCUUCAAACACUGAAUAUCAGAACUUGGAGGAAAUAAUAGAGUCAAGAAUGCCUGAAUUCGAUGAGGCCCUGGAGCAUCUAAGCUAGGAAGUCCCUUAGGCCAAAGGGACCAAACAUUGGGAAUCUUCCCUAAACCAGUUUAAAAUGGAAUUUCGAAAGGUCCUGGGUUCAAAUUUGGCUUCAGAUACUUCCUAGUUGCAUGACCCUGGGAAAGUCACUUAACCCCAAUUGGCUUGCCCUUACCAUUCUUCUGCCUUGGAACUGAUACUUGGUAUUGAUUCUAAGAUAAAAGUGUAAAAAACAAUCAUGGAAUUGGGAAAUACUUAACUAAAUUCAUAAAAAUUCAAUAAAACAGAUAAUAUUGCAUUUUAAAACCGGGUCAGUAUAUGCGACCGUCAGAGAUCCUUUGGUAUAGGUUAGAGGGCCUCAUUUCUACUGAGUUUGGCACCACUGCAAACCCAAAUUGUCUAAGUCACUGGAAUCUUAGCGAAGCCAAUGCCAGAACUGAGAGUAGUCCUAGAGACAUGGAUCAGAGUAGAGAGGCACUAAGAACAAGAGAGCUUCCUUAAGACCACACAAUGUCAAAGUUGGCAGAGCUCAGAGAAAAGAAAUUUCAAGCCAUAAAAGGGGCCUUAGAACACAUAAGGUCAUAGGUGGGAAGGAGGUUUUGUCUUUAUGAUUUACCCUAUGAGCUAGGUAUUGGGAGGGACAGGUAAAUUGAUUUUGAAAAAUACAACGUAUAUUUAUGGUAUGAGAUGCAACAUAUAUUUCAAUAUCAUUUAUAUGAGCACAAUUGUGAUACUCUGAAUUAAAACUCAGGUCCUGAACCACACAGCCAAAGAAGAAAGGUGAACAUACAGUGCCUUAUCUGGCUAAAAAAAAUGAAAAGAAAAAAAUGAAAAAAAAAGUAAUUACAUGCAUUGCCAUGAUGGGGCAAGACUGCUGUUGAUAUUACUAUUAUUGUUAAUAAAUGUGGAGUGUUUAUUGAAAAACUAAGGUAAGUACACAGGAUUUUAAAGAAACCUCAUUUGAGAUUUUAAAUCAUUGUAUUGCUAAGACAGGUAUGUACUCUAAUAAAACUGAAUAAGUAAGGGAUAAGAACAAAACCCUGGGAAGAACAGAGAAGGGAGCGGCCUUCCAAUGGAAGGUAUCAGGUCUUUAGAGCCCAGAAUAUCCAAGCUUGGAGUUGCCUUUCUGGACAACAUAUUGAAGAGAAUUUAAAAUAGGGCAUUUCAGCCCUAGGAAAGCCGUCUGGGCUCUGAAGGUCAGAAUUGGGUGUUGACAUAGAAGCCAGCCAGAACAUCAGAUCAAGAAGGGGACACAGAGGAGCAUGGAGGCAGAUGGGGCCCUGGAACCUGGGAUUUCAGAGGUGGAAGGGUGCAUAAAAUAAAAAAUGUGGGGAUGGCUAGAGACUGAGAAGACACAGUAUAAGAGGCUUCAUCUUUCCAUGGACAAUGGUGUUGCCUGCAUCAGAUAUCCCAAAAGAAGGGAACUCCAUGAACUGGCUUACUCAGGUCAGACUGCUGUUGACAUUGGUGGUAUUAGUAGUGAAUGGGGAGUACCUAUGGAAAUAAUAAGGUGUGGAGAGUAUAGUAUAGCAUGACAGGAAGUAUAAAGACUAAAGUAUAAUGUAGAGUACUUUUAAAGGACCCCAUUUUUGCUCUGAAAUCAUUCUAUUGAUAAAGAGACAUUCAAUGUAAUAAAAGGACAUGAAAAUGAGAAGAAAAAAGUCUUAGAAUAUUAUACUGGGGUGUGGCCUUAUUUCAUGGAAUUCCAGGGCUUUGAGGGCCUUCAAACAUAGAGUAUCUGGACUGGAAUAUGCCUGUAGAGAUGAACUAGGGUUCUGAAUGACAGAAAUUGGAGUUGAGAACAUAGAAGCCAGAAUAUCAGACUAGGAUAGUCACUUCGAACACCCAUUGUCUCAGUUUGGAGGAAAUUUCAACAGCAGUGCCUGAAUGUGAUAGGGCCCUGGAGCCUUGGAAUAUCAGGGUUAGAGAGACCGUAGAUUCCAGAAAGUGGCAGAUGAACAGAAUCUGAAAACACAAAUUGUGCAAAUGAGUGGGACAUCAGCCAAGAAAGGGUCAGGUCUAGGAGAAGCCAUAGAGAAGAGAAUGUCAAAACUGGGAAGGAAUUUGCUUUUUUAAAUUUAGACCUUCAGUGAACAACAUAUUCAGAGUGAAAGAUAAAUUUUUUUUUAAAUCCUUAUCUUCCCUCUUAGAAUCAAUACUCUAUAUUUGUUCCAAGGCAUAAGGACUGGGCAGUGGGGGUUAAGUGACUUGCUUAAGUGACCUGAGGCCAGGUGUGAACCUAGGACCCUCCAAUCUCUAGGUCUGCCUCUCAUCCACUGAGCCACCCAGCUGCCCCUGAAAAGUUAAUUUUGAAAAAUAAUAAAGUAUUUUUAGAGAGCUAAAUAUAACAUAUUUCAAUAUAACAUAUCAAUGCAAUAGUAAUGCUGAAAAUUAUAACUCAGGUCCUGAACCCUGCAGACAAACCCUGGGCCUAAACCCCUUCAAAACCAAACCAAAAAGGGAAGCGAAAAAAAAUCAACAACAAAGUAAUUCCAUACAGUGACUUGAUGAGGUAAAAUUGCUAUUGAUAUUACUAUUAUUUUUAAUGAAUGGAGACUCUUUAUUGUAAAAAAAAAACUAAGGUAAGUACCCAGGAUUCAAAAGGAUAACAUUUAUGAUUUUAAAUCAUUAUUUUGCUAAGACGUAAUAUAAUGUCAUAAAAUUAAACAAAUGAAAAGAAAAACAUCUUAGAUUGUUAGAGGAGGAAGCAGGCUUAGAACCUUGACUGUCUGGGCUUGGUGGUAUAUUUCAAGAAAAUACAGUGGAGGUUGGAUAGAAUUUAGAAUAGAGAAUUUCAGCAUCGAGAUAGCAACUCUAGGUAUGACUGUCAGAACUGGGAGCUGAUAAAGAAGCAAGAAUAUGAGACUUGGGAGGUCAUGCAGGACAUAACGUAUCUGACUUUGGAGGAAAUUCAGAAUUCAGAAUACCAAAGCUAGACGGGUUCCUAGAACCUGGAAUACCAGAGGUAGAAGAGACUCUAAAAGACAAAAUGGGAGUUGGCCUGAGCCCAAGGACACCAAUUGUCUUGAGUCAGUGGGAGCUUAACACUCAGAAUAUCUGACCCAAGACUAACUAGAGAGAAUGUGAAGGCAUAUGGAACAAGGGCAAGCUAUAAUUUUGAUCAUCACAAUGGGAAUGUUCUAAACUAAAAUUCAUGGCCUCAAACCCAGUCAGCAAGAAAAGGUUAAAAUAUAGUGCCUAACCUGUCUCCAAAAUAAAAGAAUGAAAAGAAAAAAUAACACACCAAAAAAAGUAAUCUGAUGCAGUGUUUUGAAGGGACAUGGCUGUUGUAGAUAGAACUGUUGUUAUUAUUAUUUUUUUUUAAACCCUUGCCUUCCAUCUUAUGAUCAAUAUUAGUUUUGGUUCCAUGGCAGAAGAGCAGGAAGGAUUAGGCAGUGGGGGUUAAAUGACUUGCCCAGGGUCACACAUCUAGGAAGGAAGUACCUGAGGCGAGAUUCAGAACCUAGGACCUCCCAACUCCAAGCCUACCUCUCUGACUAUUAUUUUUCAUGAACAAGGGAGUACUUAAGUUAAGCAAGCAAUUCAAAAGGAACACAACUUUUCCAUUUGAAAUCACUGUGUGGAGAUCUAUAUGUAAUUUAAGAAAAGGGGGAAAAAUAGGAGGGAGAGAAUUUGAAAAAUAAAAUGAUGGAAUUGGAAAGCUCUUUUUUAAAUAGAGUGUCUGACUUGGAGAUUGACUAGGGCUAAAUAAGAAUAGGGCACUGGGGGCUCUGAAUGUCAAGCCUGGAAGCUGACAUAGAAGAAAGAACCUCAGACUUGUGAGGACUUAUAGAAAUAAAAUAUCUGAGCUCAGAGGCAAUUUAGAGUCAAGAGUCCCUGAGCUGCAAUGACACCCUUGAAGUUAGAAGGAAUCAUCGGGAAUGGGAGAGAUGGUCAGAGACUGAAAACCCAAAUUGUUCAAUUAAGCUCCAAUCUGGGAGAGGUUGCAGAAAGGAGAAUAGUUUAGCCAGCAGGGAAGAAUCAAGAAAGGAUACCAGAGCCAGGGAAAUCCUGAGGACAUACAAUGGCAGGACUAGGAGAACCUUUCAGACUAGAGGGCAUUGGAGCUGGAGGGACUCUUAAAACAGAUGAUCAGAGCUGGGAUGGUGCUAAAAACACUCAAGAUCAUUGCUGGGCAAUAGUUAUGUUUAUAUGCUCCUGGGGAGGGACGAGUAUAUAUAUAUUUUUAAUUAUAUUUAGGGUACAAGCUGCAACAUAUGUUCAUGAUGCUGCUCUGAAUUAAAAUUCCCAUACUGAGUCACAAAAGCAAAAUGGAAAGGUGAACAGACAGUGCCUAAUCUGACUCCAAAAGAAAACAAAGAAAAAAAACCUGCCCCAAAAGUAAUUGCAUGCAGUAUCUUGAAGGCCAAAAGUUGCUGUGAAUAUUUCUGUUAUUAUUAAUGAAAGGGCUGUAUUUAUUGGGAAAAAAAUAAGGUAAGUACACAAUAUUGAAAAGGGAAACAAUUAUGAUUUUAAAGAAUUCUGUUGCUAAGACACAUAUAUAAUAUGAUCAGAUUGGAUAAGCCCCUAGAAUAUAUGAUGAGGGAGGGUCUUUAAAAUUAAAUCAUAGGGUUUCUAGAACCCACCAUUCUGCUUUAAGAACAUAUAUUGGAGAUUAAAGAAAGCUAAUAACAUAGAAUUUCACUGUGGGAAAACAGUGCAGGCUCUGAGUGUCAAAACCUGGAAGACAAGAUAUCAGACCUUGAAAAAUAUGUGGGACACUGAAUGUCCUAAAAUAAAUUAAAUUGGAAGCCAGUUAGAAUCAAGAGCCCCUGAGCCGAAUUGAACCCCAGAAGCUAGAGUAUCAAACCUGGGAGGAACCUUAGAGCAAAGAAAGUGAGGGUUGAUCAGAGCCAGAGCACUAUGGGAUGUAAGACCUGGAAAAGGUCACAGAGAAAGAGAAUGUCAGAGUUGGCAACCAUUUAAGAACAAGGGAUUUCAAUAGAACAUAACAAUUUCAGAACUAGUUUUGGCCGUAAGCAUCAGAGCUGGGAGGGCAAAGAGUUUCAUCUGUAUGCUCAGAGUUCCAAAUUGUGAGGAAGGAGAGGGAAAUUUAAAAAACAAUGAUGGUAUAUUUAUAGUAGGAGAUGCAACAUUUGUUUCAAUAUAAUUUCUAAAAGAACAAUGGCAAUGCUUUAAAUAAAAACUUUUCUAAACACAACCAAAUGAUUUUGCCUUAGAUGACUUGAACCAAAGCAAAACAAAAAAAAAUCCUGAAAAUAUUCUAGUAAGAAUUGUAUCCUAUAAUUUGGUAGUGAAUGUGGACUGUUUAUUGAAAAAAUCUGUUUUUAAUAAAACCCGCUUUGAAAAUGGGAUGCCAUUUGUGAUUUCAUAUCACUGUAUUGUUAAGACAUAUAUAAUUUGCUAGAACAAAACAGUAAAUAGAAAGAACCCUUGAAUGUCACAGGAAUGAGGGGGUUUUCAACAUAAAAUGACAGAGCUAGGAGAGUCUUUAGAACAUAGAAUGUCUGAUCUGGAGGUACAUUUCAAGAGAACAUAUCAUAGUUGAGAAUAUAAAAUUUCAAACCUGGGAGGGCAGGUAGGACCCAGAAUAUCUAUGUUUGGAGGAAAUUUAAAAUCAAGAGUGCCCAAGAUGAAUAGUGCCAUGAAAGUUGGAAUAGUGAAAAUGGGAGAGACCUUAGAACAUAGAACCUGUAAGAUGUCUAGAGCUUGAAAAGAGAAUUUGUCUGAUUCCACAGGAUAUGAACACAUGAAAUGUCAGAGAAUGCCAAGGAAGGGGUAAAAGAGUUAGAGCUGUUGUGAGGAUCAAAGGAAACAAUAUUUGGAAAGCAUUUUAGCACAGUGCCUAUGUCUAGUAGGUGCUAUAUAAAUGUUAGUUAUUACCUACUAGGAAAACCUUUAGAACAUACAAUAUCAAGAUAAGGAUUGUCCUUUUAAAUUGAGUAUCAGAGCUGAGGGUCCUGAGACCACAUAAUAUCAUUUCUAGGAAGGGGUCUCUUAAGUGUGUCAUGGGGAGGGACGGGAAAUUUCUUAAAAAUAAUUAUAUUUAUGUUAUCUGGAACAAUAUAUAUUUCAAUAUAAUUUUUUUUUCAAUAUAAUUUAACAUCGGUACAAUGGUGAUGACCUACUCAUAUCCUGGAACUCACAGAGAGUAAAGGUGACCAACCAAUGUCUAAUCAUACUCCAGUUUAAAAAAGGAAAAAUAAUUGAAAGCCCAGUAAUUGCAGGGGAAGUAAAUUGAAGGGUUAAAGGCUGCAGUGGAUAUCAUUAUUGUUGUUAAUGAAUGGUCAGGAUUUACUGAGAAAAUGAAGUACAGGCUCUGAAUGACAAAACUAGGAGUUGUUGAGGAAGCCAGAAUAUAAGAACUCAGAGGAUUUGUAGAAUAUACAAUGCCAUUAAAUUAAUUCAGUUGGAGGAAAUUUAGAAUCUAAAAGGCCUGAGUUUAAAGGGACCCUGGUAUGUCAAAGGUGGGAGAACUUUAGGUCAUGGAAAGUGAUAGAUUUUUCAGAAGCAGAGAACAGAAAUGGUCUGAUUCUGUGGGAUGUUAGCAUAUAGAAUGACCUGGGAGAAGCCAGAGAGAAUAGAAUGUCAGAGCAGGUAAGAAGACAUUUAGGAAAAGGGAUAUCAGAGUCAGGAAAGCCCUUAGAUCAAACAAUGUCAGGAAUAAGAGUAGCUUUAAAACAUCAGCAUGUCAGAGCUAAGGAAACUCUUAGAACAGAGAUUAUCAAAGCUCAGGUGGUCCCAAGAACAUACAGAAUCAUUGUUCAGAUCCCAUUUAUGAGGAGAGACAGGUAAAAUUUAAGAAUAAUAAGAAAGGAUAUUUAAGGUUUGACAUGCAGCAUAAGUUUAAAUAUAAUAUCAGCACAAUACUGAUGCUCUGAUUUCAAAAUCAGAUUCGAAACACUGCCACUAAGGAAAGGCAGAAAUAUAUUACCCUAGCAGGCUGACAAUCCAGAAACAUAAAAAUAUUCUGAUGGGGGGAAAAUCCAAAUUCCGUGCACUUUCUUAAUCAGGUAAAAGUGCUAUUGGCAUCUCAUUUUUGGUAAUGAAUAGGGGAUGUUUAACUGAAACCAGUGAGGUGUUAAGUGCCCAAUUCUAAAAGGAACAUUAUUUGUGAUUUUAAAUAGUUGUAUGGCUAAGAGAAAUAUGUAACACAAUAUACAAUACUAAAUAGUGAAAAGAGGGAAAAAACCCUUUAAAUAUCACCAGUGUGAGAGGACUUUGAAUAUAAAAAUAAAAAAGUUGGGAGAAGCUUCGGAGAUGUAUUAGAUGCUGGAUAACAAUUAGAAUUGAGAAUUUCCACACUGGGAUGAUGGAUCCAGGCUCAGAAGCCAGAAUAGCAUACCCGACAAGGCCUGUAAAUAUAGAAUUCGGAGCUUAGAGGCAAUUUAAUACCAAGAGUGCCUGAUCUGGAUGGCGCCUUCCUAGCCCUAGUAUCAAACGAGUGAGGGUCCUAAAACCUAUAACGUGGGAGAUAAUUGUCUUAAUUCAGUAUGAUCUGGACACACAGUAUGUGAAGCCAAGGAGAGCCAUAGAGAAGGGAAUGCCAGAGUUGGGAAGGCACUUAGAAAGACAGAUGAUCAGAGCUCAGAAAGCCCUUAGGAUAUACAAUUUCAGGACUGGAUUUGACCAAAAACAACUACACAGUGUCAAAGCAGCUCUUAGCAGAGCUCUGUUGAUCAAGAAAACACACAAUAUCAUUGUUGAGAAGGAAUCUUGUCUAAGUUAGAAGGAAGGAAAGGCAAAUUUUCAAAAGCAUUCAAAAAUAUGUUUAUGGAAUGAAAUCCAACAUGAUAUCUAUAAGCAUGAAGUGGUGAUCCUUGAAUCAGACAGCCAAAGUACAAAUUUGAAAAGAAAAGCCUUAAACUGGAUUAAAAGAAAAACAAUGAAAUGAAAAACAAAAUAACUGACCCAAAAGUAAAAGCAUGCAAUAUUUUAAAGGGAGGGGGGAGACUGUUAUAGAUAUUACAGUUAUUGUUCACAAAAUGGGCCAAAUUUAUUUUUUAAAGGUAAGUAUGUAGGAUUUCCAAGGGAAAUAUUUAGUGAUAUUAAAUAAUUGUAUUGCUAAUACGCAAUUAAUAUACUAAAACAUUUAAUAUACUAGUACACAAUAUACAAAUAUCACUUAAUAUACUAAAACUAAGUAAGUGAAAAGAAAAAAAAACUAGAAUAUCAGAUGACAAAAAAGCUUUUGAGCAUAAAAUACUUAGGAUGGAAGAGACGUUAGAAACGAUAAUAUCUGACUUGAAGGGGUCUUUUAAGAGAAUAUAUUGGUUGAUGAAUAAAGCUAAAAAUGGAGAAUUUCAGGGCUGGGAUGGCAGUCCAGGCUCUGAGUACCAGAAUCAGAACAGAAUAGGAGACUUGAGAAGGUGGAACCAACAAAGAAUGUCUGAGGGUGGAGACAAUUUAGAAACGAGGAGCCUCUGUUAGAUGGGACCUUAUAGCCUAGCAUAGCAAACUCAGGGGUGAUGUCAGAAGUCAAAGUGAGAGAUAGUCAGAGCCACAGAGCUGAAAUUGUCUGAAAGAGGUCAGAAAGAAGAGAAUGUCAGAGCUAGCUAGGCAGGUAGAAGAAGACCUGAUAGCAAAACUCAGAAAGCCUUUGCAGCAUAAAACUUCAGUACUAGCUUUGGCCAUAAAACCAUACCAUGCCAGAGCUUGGAGGGCUCUUAGAACAUAGGUGAGAUACAUGAUGCCAUUGUUAGGAACAAGUUUUGUUUCUACACUCAGAGGUUCAACUUCUGGGGAAGGAGAGGUAAAUGUAAAUGAUGUGAGACAAGAUUUAUUUACAGUAUGAAACAAGAUUUAUGCCAGCACAAAGUUGAUCUUCUGAAUUAAAAGAGACUGCACAAAAUCAGAGGGGAAGGAGAAGCAGACUGUCAAGUCUGGUUCUUCUUCUACUUCUACUACUAAUAAUAAUAAAAGACAAAAAUAAUUGCAUUGAGUGUCUUUAAGAAUUAGACUAUUUUAGCUAUCACUAUUAUCGUUAAUGAAUGAUCAAUCAGUACUUAUUGAAAAAAGUACAUGGAAUUCAAAAGAAAAACUUGUGCUCUCAUACAUAUAUGGAAUUUAAUGUAGUUGAGCUGAAUAAGUGAGUGAAAAAGAAAACAAACAGGUGGGAGGUGACUUUAAUAAAAAAAAAACAGGGUUACAUGAUGGCACUAAGAAAAUACUAUGACUUGGAGGUGCCUUUCAAGAAAAUAUUUUGGAGGCUGGGGGUGUUUAGAACAGAGAACCUCAUAAAUGAACAGUGACAUAGAAGCCAGAAUAUGAGAUUUGAGAGGUUGUAUCUGAAUUUGGAGACAAUUUUGAAUAUAUACUAAUCAGUGUUGCAUGAGCUGUAUGGGGCACUCUAAACUAGAGUAUCAGAUUUGGGAAAGGCUUUAGAACACAGAAAGUGAGAGCCAAUCAGAGUCAGAGAACUGAGAUUGCUUGAUUCAGUAGGCCUGGGAGAAUCAAUGAAUGACAGCUGGGAAGGCAGCUAGGAAAAAUGAUAGAACAUAGAAUGGCAGGACAAAGAGUGGCUUUAAACCUCAGAAUGGCAGAGGUGAAGAAACUCUUAGAACAGAUGGUCUUGAGCUCAGAUGGUCCUGAGAACAUACAGUACCAUUUCUGGGAAGAAGUUUUAUUUCUUUGCUCAAAGUUCCAACUUUGGAGGAAGGUCAGGUAAGAAUUUCUCAAAGUAUAUUUUGUAUAAGAGUUGAAUCAUAUUUCAGUAUCAUUUAUAUCAGCAUGAUGGAGAGUUUCAGGGCUGAGGCCAGUCCAGGGGCUGAAUAUCAAAAUUGGGGUUUGCCAUAGAUGUCAAAAUAUGAGCCUCCCCCCCCAAACCCUUACUGGCUAUCUUGGAAUUGAUACUAAGUAUCAAAUAGAAAAGAGCAGUAAUGGCUAGGAAAUGGAGGUCAAGUGACUUGCCCAGGGUCACCCAGCUAGAAAGUGUCUGAGCCCAGAUUUGAAGCCAGAACCACCUGACUCUCAAUCCACUGAGCAAUCCAGCUGCCCCUAAAAUAUGAGACUUAAGAGAAAGUAUGUCCAACAUGGAAUGUCUGAGCUGGAAGAAAUUUCAAAUCAGUGGAGUCCUCUAACCUAGGUAUCAAACUUGGAAAGGCCUUUAGAAUACAGAACCAAAAUUGUCUCCAUGGGAUACGAACCUGGAAGGAACAAUAGACAAGAAAAUAUCAGCUUUCAAGGUAUGUGGGGCAAGUGAUAACAGAGUUAGCACAACUGCUAGAACAUAGAAUUUCAGAACAUGCUUGGCCCAUAAGUCCACACAGUUGGAGGUUGAAUAGAGCUUAGAAAAUUAGAGCUUAGAAUUUCAGGACUUGGAUAACUGUCUGGGCUCUGGGUGUCUAAACGAAGAGUGAACACAGAAGACAGCAUCAGACCUAGAAGAGAAUGUAGAAAAUACAAUGAAUGAGCUUGGAGGCAAUGUAGAAUCAAAAGUGCCUGAGCUGGAUGUAGUCAGGGAAUAUGGACUAUCAGACUUUAGAAUAUAGCAAGUGAGAGAUGGUUAAAGCCAGAGAACAGAAAGUGGCAUUGUGGGAUGUGAGCAAGUAAUGUCGGGCCCAAGAGAGAAGGAAAUGAAGUCAAAGAUGGCAGGUAGAACAAGUAAUAUCAGAACCAGGAAAAGCCUUAGAACAUUCAGUAGUGGCUUCAAAACCUCAGUGUGUCAGAGCAGGGAGAAUUCUUAGAACAUAGAUUAUCAGAGCUCAUAUAGUCCUGAAAAUCUACAAGUUCCUCAUGGGAAAGAGUUUUAUUUCUGAGUGUAAGAGUUCCCCUUUAUGAGGAAGGACAGUUUAGUUGAAAAAAAAAUAGCGAAAUGUAUUUAGGAUAUGACCUGCAACAUAUUUUGAUAUCAUUUAUUUCAGCCCCCCACAGAUGCUAUGAUUUUCAAGUCUGGUUCUGAAACAGCCAGUGAGAAAAAGUAAAAAUAUAUUCCCUCAAUGGCUGAAAAUCUUAAAAAGUAUAUCUUGAGGGGAGGGGGGAAUCGUUGUUCCAUUCAUUACUUUGGUCUAACAAUAAUAUUAUUGAUAUUGGUAAUGAAUAGGGAGUGCUUGUUGAAAAAAGUUUUAUAUACCCAGUUUUAAAAGGUUUAGUAUUUGUGAAUUUAAAUAGUAUUUCUAAGACAACUGCGUAACUUAAUAUAACAAAGCUGAGUAAGUGAAAAGGAAAAAAACCUUGACUAUCACUGGAAAGAGGAGUCUUUGAACAUAAAGUGACAAAGCCUGGGGAGUUUUUAGAACAUAGGCUGUCACAUUUUGAGAUGCAUUUCAGAAAGAAUUGUACAGUGAGUUGGCAGUCCAGGCUCUGAAUGUUAGAGAAGAGUUUUCUGAUGGAAGCCAGAAAAUAUCAGACUUUUGUGGGUCUGUAGAAUCAAAAUGUCUGUUUGGAGCCAAUUUAACACCCUGUGUGCCCGAGAUGGGUCCCUGCUACCCAUAAUAUCAAAGGGGGGGAGGGUACCUUGAGACACCCAAAGUGGGAAGUGUUCGAAGCCUGAGAACAGGGAAUUGUCUGAUUAAGUGAGAUAUGAGCACAAAGAAUGCCAGGCUUGGGAGAAGCCAGAAAGAAGAGAGUGUUAGAACUGGCAGAGUAUUUGGAGGAAGGGACAGAAGAGGUGAGAAAGCCUUUAGUACAUGCAAUUUCAAGACUUGCUUUGUCAUAAAGCCACAGUGUAUCAGAGCUGGAUGAGCCUUUAGAAUAGAAAUGAACAGAGCUCAGACAGAUGGUCCUGAAAAUAUGUGAUAUUGUUGCUGGGAACGAGUUUUUUUGUCCUCACUCACAACUUAUUGGCAAUAACAGGUAAAUUUAAACAGCAAUUAAAAGUAUGCUUUGGUAUGAGAUGCUUGCAACAUAUAUUUCAAUAUAAUUUAUAUUAACAAAAUGAUCAUCCUGUAAUUAGUUCUCAUGUCCUGCCUCACAUAGUCAAAGAGGAAAAGUGAGCGUGCAAUGUCUAAUCAAGUUCCGAAAGAAAGGAAGCUAAAAAAAGGAAAAAAUCAAAGACAAUAGAGUAAUUGUCUGUAGUGCUUCUGAGUGUUAAGCCUGCUGCAGAUAUCACUACUCUUGUUGAUACUCUUGUUGUUAGUAUGUAUUGAAAAAUAUAAAGAACAUAGGGUUCAAAAGAAAACUAGUUUAUGCUCUCAAAGGACUAUUGCUAAUCAAUAUGGCAGUUUAAUAUCUUUAAACUGAAGAAAGUAAGGGGGAAAGACUUUGACCGUAAAAUGUCAGUUCUAGACCUCUCAGAAACUGCAAUGUCUGACUUAGAGAUGUCUUCCAAGAGAACAUGUUGGAGAAUGGCUAGAGCUUAGAAAUGGAGAAUUACAGUGCUGGCAUGGCAGAACUGGGAGCUGACAUAGUAUCUAGACUAUGAGACUUGAGAAGGCAUGUCCGACCUAGAAUGUCUAUGCUUCGAGGUAGUUUAGAAUCAAUGGGGCCUGAGCUAGGUGGGACCCUCCAGACUAGAGUAUCAAACUUGGGGGGAUUGUAGAUCACAGACAAUGAGAGUUGGUCAGAGCCAGGGAACUGAAAUUAUAUGAUUCAGUGAGAUGUGAGCACAGUUUUGGAGAAGCCACAGAGAAGAGAAUUCCAGAACUAUCAAGGCAAGUAGAAGUGAUGUCUAAGGGCUAGUGUAGCCUGUAGAAGAUAUCAUCUCAGUUGUGGCCAUAAAUUUACAUGGUAUCAGAGCUAGGAGAGCUUUAGAACAUAGAUUACCUGGGCUCAGAUGGUCCCAAGAAAACCCAGUAUCAUUGCUGGGAAGGCGAUUUGUUUCUGCAUUUAGAUUUUAAACUUAUGGGAAAGGACAGGUAAAUUAUGCAAUAACAGUAUGUAUUUAAUGUAUAAUCCAGUGUAAUAUAUGUCAGCAUAAUGAUGAUCCUCUGAAUUAAAACGUAUAUCCUGAACAGAAAGGUGAACAUAUAGUCCCUAAUUAGAUUCCAUCUGGCUCCUCAGAAAAGAAAACAGAAAAAAGAAAAGGAGAAAAUAACUGAAAAAGCAGUGAUUCUAUGCACUGUCUUGAAAGUUUAAGCAAUUUUAAAUAUCACUGUUAUUGUUAAUGAAUGUUCAAUAUUUACUGGAAAAAUUAGUACAGAGAAUUAAAAUGAGAAAGAACAUGUGCUCUCAAGUAAUGAUACUGCUAAUUGGAAGAAGCUAUAGGGAAGAGAAAGUUAGAGCUGGCAGAGAACUUGAAGGGACAGAAGAGCCUUGGACUAGCCUUAGAAUAUAUUUCAGGACUAGCCUGGGUCAGAAGCACUCAGUGUCAGAGCUGGAAGGGCUCUUCUACGUUAUCAGAACUCAGAUGGACCUGAGAACAUAGAAUGUCUUUACUGGGUAGGAUUUCUGUUUCUGAGCUUGGAGUUGCAAAGUUAUGGGGACAAAUGAGUAAAUCUGGACAAUAAAAAAGUUUCUUUAGGGGAUGAAAAGUAGCCUGUUUUACAUUAUACUUUGUAUUGGCAUAUUAGUGAUUCUCUUAAUUAAAAAUAUGUCCUCUAUUACUCAAAAACUAAAUGUAUGGUGUUUAAUAUGAUUCUGAUUUUAGAAAAGGAAUGGAAAAAGUCACUGAAUAUCAUAAUUGCAGGCAGUUUCUUGAAGGGUUAAGGCAGCAGUCAAUAUCACUAUUAUUGUUCAUGAAAGGUCAAUUGAUUCAUUGAAAAAUUAAAUUAAGUGCAUAGAAUUCUAAAGAAUAAUAAUUUGUGAUUGCAAAUGACCAUAUUGAAAAAUGCAUAUAUGUAAUUUAAUAUACUAAAACUGAAGAAAUAAGGAAAAAGGAAAACUAAAGCAUGACCCGGCUGAGUGGGUCCUUAGAUAAUAGUGUCUGAUUUGUAUGGACAGCCCUUUCAAGAGAAUAUAUUAGAGACUGGAGAAAUCGUAGAAGAGAGCCUUCCAGGGCUGAAACAGCAGUCCUCAGUCUAAGUGUGAAAACCAGGAGUUGACAUGAAAGCUAGACUAUCAGACCAGGGAGAGAAUGUGGAGCACAGAAAGAAUGAACUUGGAGGCAAUUCAGAGUCAAGAAGGCCUGAGCUGGAAGGGGCCCUAGAUGACAAGAGAGAGGUGGUCAGAAGAGAAAUCGUCUGAUUCUGUGGCAUAGGAAGGUCUGUAAGAAGCUGUCAGAGAGAAGAGGAUGUCAGAAGGCAGGACACUUGGGAGGAGUACCCUUAGAAUACACAAUUUCAAGACUACCCUGGGCCACAACCCCAUAGUGUCAGAGUUUAACCAGGGUUAAGAGAGCUCAGAAGGGCCUGAGAACACAUGAUAUCAUUGUUGAGAAGGAGUCUUAUUUAUGUAUUCAGGGUCCAAGUUAAAGAGAAAGCACGCUAAAAUUUAAAAAUAUUUUUAAAGUCUAUGGUAUAAAAUACAACACUGGUGGCAAUUUAAUAUCAAUAAGUUCAAUGGUGAUCCUUUGAAUUAAAACUCAUGUCCUGAAUCACACAACCAAAGUGGGCAUUGGAAUAUACAGUGUUUAACCUGGAUUAACAGGAAAACAUUGAAAAGGGGGGAAAGUGACAGAAAGGAAAAAAAUGUGGUUUUUUUUCAAGGGUUUCUGCUGUUAAUGGGGCAUAUUUGUUGGGGAAAAAGAAGGUAAGUAUAUAGGAUUUGCAAGGGAAACAAUUUGUGUUUUUAAGUAAUUGUAUUACUAAUAAAUGCCAUUUAACUUAUUAACACUGAAUAAAUAAGUGAAGGGGGGAAUCCCCUUUAAUAACACUAGAGUGAAGGGACUUUGACCAUAAAAUUAAGGAGCUGGGAAAGUUUUUAGUACAUAGAUUGUCUGACUUGGAAACACAUCUCAAAAUUUUGGAGGCCGAAUUGAGCUUAGGAUGGAGAUUAUCUUAACUGGGAUACUGGUCCAGGCUUAGAAAAUAUUAGAAAUGGGUUUUCCAAAAGAAGUCAGAACAUCAGGCUUGGGAAGGGCCAUGUAAAAAUAUAGAAUAUCUGAGCUUGGAGGCGAUCUAAGGUUCCAGAGCCCCCCACCAUAUUAUCAGAGGUGUGAAACUUUCCAACACUGAACUGUCUGAUUCAGUGAGAAAUGGGUCCACAGAAUGUCAGGCUUGGGUAUAGCCAUAGAGGAGAGAAUGCUAACAGAGAAUUUAGAAGGGAUAUAAGAGCCAGGAAAACCCUUAGGAUAUUGGCCAUAAAAAAUUUACUGUCGGAGCCUCUUAGAAUACUAUCAGAGGACUGAUGGUCCUGAGAAUAAGUAAUAUCACUGCUAGGAAGGAGUCUUGUUUAUGUGCUCAGGGGUUCUCCCUCCCUUGGUCAGGGAGAAUUAAAUAAAAAAACAUUUUAAGAGUAUACUUAUGUAGAACCAUAUAAUACCUAGAAAAGUACAACAGUGAUCUUAUAAAGUAAAAUCCAAGUCCUAAAUUACACAGGCAAAGUAGAACUUUGAAUAUACCAUGCUUAAUCCAAAAUUAAAGGGGAAAAAUUGAACAGACAAAAAAAUCACAUGUAGUAUUUUCAAGAGGUAAGGUGGAUAUGCAUACUACUAUUAUUCAUGAAUGGACCAUAUAUAGGGAUCAGAAAAGAAACUGAAGUAAUUGUAUAGCUAAGAAACAUCUAGCAUUUAAUAUAUUAAAACUGAUUAAGAGAAAAGGGAAAAAUACUCCCAAGAAUAUCAGAGAAGAGAGAUGCUAUUGACCAUAAAAUACCUAGGCUAGGAAUAUCAUUAGAGAUUAGGACAUCUGCCUUGGAGAUGCCUUUUGAGAGACUCUAUUAGAAGAUAGAUAGGGUUUAGAGUGUUGGGAUAGUAGCCCGGGGGGCUCUGACUAUCAGUCACACCUGGGAGUUGAUAUAGUAUACAGAAUAUGAGCCUUGAGAAAGUGUGUCCAAUAUAGAAUGUCCGAGCUUGGAGGCAACAGAAAUAAUCACUGGGGCCUGAGCUGAAUGGUGUCCUUCAACUUAGAACAUGAAAGUUGGGAGAGAUUAUUUAAUUCAUAGGAAAUGUGAGAUACAGCCAAGGAACAGCUAUUGUCUGAUUCAUGGCAGCUAAGCAUAUAGAAAUGUGAGGCCCAAGAGGAGGGAAUAGCAAAGCUGAAAGACACUUGGAAGAAGCAUUAUCAGAGCAAGGGAAGCCGUUAGAACAUAGAAUUUCAGAACUAACUUUGACCAUGAAAUUGUAAAAUGUCAGAGCUCUUAGAACAUGGAUUAUCAGAACUUAGAUCGUCCUGAGAACACAAAAUUUCAAUGUUGUGAACAAGUUCUGUUUCUGUUCUGAGUUCCAUCUUAUGAGCAAAUUAUCACAACAAAAACAAAGUAUAUUUAGGAUAUAAGAUGCCACAUGUAUGUCAGUAUAAUUUAUAUCAGCACAAUGGUGAUGCUAUGAAUUAAAACUUACAUCCUGUAUCACAUAGAUGAAAAGACAAUCUACAGGGGGCACUCUGCUUCCAGUUUUUAAAAUUGAAAAGAAAAGGUCACAACCUAGCCCUUGGUGGCUUCAAGGGUUGGGACUUCUGUAGAUACCGCUAUUAUUGUUAAUGAAUGGUGGAUAUUCAUUUAAAAAAGAAAUGCACAGAAUUCAAAAGAGAAGAAUCUGAGCUCUGAAAUAUUUCUACUACUCAUACAUAUAUGUAAUUUACUAUACUAAAAUUGAAGAAAUAAGUGAAAAGGAGACAACAAACUAAGAAAACAAAGGUUUCUGUGUUCAGAGGUCCAAUUUGGGGGAGUGAUAAUUUAAAAAACUUUAUUUAGGGCAUGAUAUACAACAUAUGCUUCAGUAUGAUUUUUAUCAGUAUCAUGCAAGUCAGUUCCCAAAACAUAGCCAAUGAGGAAAUAUAAAAAUAUUCUAGCAGGAUGAAAAUCUGAAAAGAAACAUUUAUAUAGCCAUCUAGAUAUUGAUAUUGAUAUUAUUGAUUAUGAAUAGGGAGUAGUUUUCUCUUUUACCAAAGAUUUACAUAUCCAAAUUUAAUAGGGACACCAUUUAUGAUUUUAAAUAAUUAUACUGCUAAGACACAUAUAAUUUAACAUAAUAGAACUGAAUAAAUAAUGGAAAAGGAAAAUAUGAAAAUCCUUGGAUAUGAAUAAAGUGAGGCGACUUUGAACUUAAAAUAACAGAGCUAGGUGAUUCUUAGAACAGAAAGUGUUUGACUGAGAUUCACUGGAAGAGAAUAUCCUGGAGGGUAGAUAGAACUUAGAAUGGAGAAUUUUUACACUGAGAUGGCAAUCCAAGCUCAGGACAUUAGAAAUGGGUUUUUCAAUCAGAGUUAGAAUUGUAGACUUGGGAGGGAAUCUAGAAUACAUAAUAUCAAAGGUAUAAGGGACCACAAAAUGUAGAAUGUAGAAGAUUUUCAGAGUUUGCAAUCAGAAAUUGUGAGACAGGAGUACAUAAAAUAUUAGGCCUGGGAGAAACUAUGGAAGAGGGAAUGUUAGAGCUGGCAGAAAACUUAGAGAAAGAGCUAGAAGAGCUAGAAAAAAACCCCUAGAACAUACAAAAACCUCAGCAUCAGAGCUGAGGACUCUUAGAAUGUGGAUUGUCAAAGCUCUAAUGAUCCUGAGAACUCCCAGUAUCCCUGCCAGAAACAAGUUUUAUUUCUAUGCUCAGAGCUACAAUUUAUAGGGAAGGGCAAAGAAACAACAAUAACUAAGUAUAUAUUUAGAGUAUGAAAUGGAGCAUAAAUUUCAUUAAAAUUUAUUUUAGCAAAAUGGGAGGGCUCUCAAUUAGCUCUUAUGCCCUGCAUUGCAGUGCUUAAUUUGGUUCUAAUAUAAAAAAAGAAUGUGAGGCCCGAGAGAAAGGAAUAUCAAAGAAAAGGAAAAGAAGAAAAACUCACCACAUAAUAAUUGCAUACAGCGUCUUGAAGGGUUACGACUGCUAAAGAUAUCACUAUCAUUAUUAAUGAAUGGUCAGCAUUGACUGAAAGAUAAAGAAAAUACAGAAUUUUUAAAAAGUAUUAUAUUGUUUAUAAAUAUAUACACAUAUAUGUGUAGUUUAAUACAAUGAAACUGAAGAAAUAAGUGAAAAGUAAACAUUAAUUUAGAAUAUCAGAAGAGGAAGGAGACUUUGACCAUAGAAAUGACAUGGAUGAAAGUGUCCUUAUAUAGCAGUGUCUGAUUUAAAAGUGCUUUUAAAGGAAUGUUCUGGAGAUUUGAUAUAUUAUAGAAGAUACUUCCAGGACUGAUACAGCAGUCCUAGCUCUAAAUGUGAAAAGCAGGAGGAGAAAAUGUAGAACAGAGAAUAAAUGAGCUUGGAAGCAACUUCAAAUCAAGACUGUUUGAGCCUGCAGUGGCCCUAGAACCUGGACUAUCAAAUAUGGGAGGGACUUUAGAACAGAGAAAUGGUGGAGAGAGCCAGAGAACAGAAAUUGUCUGACUCCAUGGGAUGGGAGAAGCCAUGGAUAAGAAAACGUCAUAGAAGGCAGGACAUUUAGAAAAAAGGAUAUCAGAGCCAGGAAAUCUGUAGAACAUACAAUAUCAGGACUAGCUUUGGACAAAACUACACAGUAUUAGAUCUAGGAAUGCUUCUAGAAUACAGAUUAUUGGAGUUCAAAUGGGCCUGAGAACAUAAAUUAUCACUGCUGGGACAGAAUCUUGUUUAUGUGCUCAGAAGCCCGUGUUAUAAAAAUGGUAAGUUAACUUUUAAAAUAUUUUAAAAGUAUAUUUAUGGUUUGAAAUGCAACAUAAAUGUCAAUAUAAUAUUUAUAAGCACAAUGGUGAUCCUCUGAAUUAAAAUUCAUGUCCUGAAUCACACAGCCAAAAGGGAAAUUUGAAUAUGCAGUGCCUCAUCUGGAUUAAAAGGGAAGCAAUGAAAAGAAGAAAAAUAAUUGAUUAAAAAGUAAAUUCACACAACUUUUAAAGUACCUCACAUACAAGCCUAAAGUGUCAGAUUUAGGUGAUGAAAACCAAGGGUGAGCCAGCAGUUUAGUGGCUCUGAAUCUGCAGAACCUCUCAGCAACAUUAACUAAGAUUGAGUCCAGCAGCAGUCUAUACACUCUCAAUGACACAUGAGCAAUGUAUCCAAACCUGGUCAGGCAUCUGCAGAACACAGACCUCUCCCUGGAUCACACCACUUUGGAAGCACCAAAAUAUGUACAGGCCCCCAGAAUAAGCUGUGAAAGCAGAAGAAGGACAUAAAAGACAGAAGCACAGGCCAGUCAUUCUCUGUGGAGGCGAGCAGAACCAAACUCUAACAAAAAGUUAAAAAUCAAGAAAUAGUCUGGGGAAAAUGACCAAACAACAAAAAAAGAGCCAGACUAUACACAACUCUAUGGUGAAGUUCAAGACACAACGUUGGAAAACAAUGAUUUCAAAAUAUCUAUAAGAAAGACUCAAAGAUGCAGAUUGGCCACAAGUCCGACAAGAAUUCAAAGAGCUAAAGAAAAUGACUAAGAAAAGAAAAUGAACAUAAUUAUUUUUUUAAUCAAAUAAAAGUUGUAGAAGAAAAACUGGGACUAUGCUAGAAAAUUGUGAAGAGAUUUAACGCCUUAGUGAAAGAGGCACCCAAAAUACCAAAGAGUAACUCCUUAAAACUCAGAAUUUGCCAUAUGAUAUAAGAGGUACAAAAUGUCACUGAAGAAAAUAAUUUCUUAAAAAUUAGACUUUGCCAAAGUAGACUGAAAGAUAAUAAUUCCAUGAGAAGUCAACAAAUGAUAAAACUAAGUCAAAACACUAAGAAAAAAAUAAGAUGAAGAUGAUGAUGAAGAAAAUAUGAAAUAUAGGAAUAACCACUGACCUGGAAAAGAGAUCAAAGAGAAGUAAUUUAAGAAGCGCUGAGACCAUUUGCCAUGAGCUUUCUUUUCUACUCUUCCUCAUCGCCUAUCACUCAGAUGCCUUCUUCCACUAUGUCCUCCUUUACCCCAAAUUUACAUGAUACACUAGAUCAAAAAGAGAUCAUUUAAGAACCACUGCAAUACCUGAAAGUUAUGAACAGCACAAAAAAGACUAUCAUGUUUCAAGAAAUUAUAAAUGAAAAUUGCUCUGAUAUCUUAGAAGCCUAGGGCAAAGUAAAAAUGGAAAAGGAAAUUCACAUCACAUUCUGAAUGAAAUCCCUAAAUAAUAAAAAGAUACAUUCCAAAAAGAGCCUUUGAAGCAUAGAUUAAAAUUAAUUGGAAACUAAAUAACUUAAUCCUAAAGAGGCAAUAAUUUCAUUAAAAGUGACAACCAUGAUACAAAAUACCAAAAUCUUUUGGAUAAAACUGAAGCAGUAUUCAGGGGACAAUUUUUAUCUCAAUGCUUAUAGCAAUAAAAGAGAGAAAGAGCAGAUCAAAGUAUUAAGUAUGCAACAAUAAAACCAAACAAAAAACUCUAGAAAAAAUUUAAACUCCAGAUAAAUAUCAAAAUAAUCUGGAAAAUCAAAGGACAGAUUAAUAAAAUUAGAAGUUGAAAAAAGUUCCAAUAAAAUAAUAAAACUGCUUUUUAGUUAUAAAAAGUGAAGAUAAGCCAUUGGAUAAUUUGAUUUUUUAAAAAAAGAAAAACCUUACCAGUUACAAAAAUGAAAAGAGUAAAUUCAAAACCAAUGAAGAUGAAAUAAAAGCAAUAAUUAGGUGGUAUUUUGUUCAAGCAUUUGCCAAUAAAAUUGAAAAACUAAACUCUCAUACGAACACAUCAGGAAAUAGAAUGCCGAAAUAACCACAACUUAAAAAAAGAAAUUUAAAAGGCCAAAAAUGACCUCCCUAAGAAAAAAACCAAAGGACCAGAUGAAGUUAAAGGUGAAUUCUACCAAACAUUUAAAGAACAAUUUAAUUCUGAUACUACAUAAACUGUUGGAAAAAAAAUCUAAAGGAGUCCUACCAAAAUACUUCUGUGAAACAAAUAUAACCUUGAUAUAAAAACCACAAAGAGCCAAAAUGGAAAAAAAUUACAGACCAAUUUCCUUAAUGAGCAUUAAAUAAAUGAAUUAGAUAAAAUAUUAACAAGGAGGUUACCACGCUAAGGCUGGCUGGAUGCAUACAGAAAUGCAGGACUGGUUCAAUAUUCAGUAAACUAUAUUUGACCAUAUCAAUAACAAAAAUCAUAUUUCAAUGAAUGCAUAAAUUUUUUUGACAAAAGAAAACAGCCACAUCUUUUCAAAAUACUAAAAAGCAUAGGAAUAAGUGAAACUUUUCUUAAAAUGGUAAGUAAUAUAUAUCUAAAACCAAAUACAACCAUUAAGGAACAAAUGAAAAUAUUCAUUAUUACAAUUAUUAUUUGAUAUUAGUGCUAGGAACAAGAAAAAACUGGUGGAACAAGCAUCAGCAAUGAGGAAAUAAAACUAUCAUCAUUUGCAGAUGAUAUAAUGAGGGUUUAGUUAAAGAACUCUAGAGAGACAACUAAAAAACUAGUCAAAACAAUGAACCUCAACCAAGUUGCAGAACAGAAAAUAAAUCCACACAAGAUCGGCAUUCCUAUAUAUUACCAACAUAAUCCAGCAGGAAAAAUAGAAAGAGAAAUUCCAUUAAAAAAGACAAACAAUACUUGAGUCUAUCUGCCAGGCAUACACAGCAACUCUAUGAACACAAUUUACAAAACAUUUUUUACACAAAUAGAACUAAAAACCUAGAGACAUAUUUAUUGCUAAUGUAUAGACCAUGACAAUAUAAUAAAAAUGACAAUCCUACUUAAUUUAUUUACUUCUUUAAUGUCAUACCAAUCAAUCUACAGAUAAUUAAUUUAAAGAACUAGGAAAACUAAUAAAAUUCAUCUGGAAGAACAAAAGGUCAAGAAUAUCAAGGGAAUUAAUGAAAAAAAUUAUAAGGAGACCUCGCAGUACCGGAUCUUAAGCUACACUACAAAGCUGUAAUUAAAACAAAAUUGUAUUAGAUAACAAAUAGAGUGUAUCAGAAUAGGCACAUAAUAUGCAAAAGCAAAUGAACAUAGUAAGCUAGUGUUUGAUAAACCUAAAGAUCCUAGCUAUUAGGGCAAGAAUUGAUUAUUUGAUGAAAACUGGCAAAUAGUUGGGCAGAAACUAGGCACAAUCCAACAUCUCACACCAUUUACCAAUAUAAAACUUAAACGGGGACAUGAUUUAGACAAAGUGUGAUAGGAUAAGCAAAUUAAGGGAGUAUGGAAGAAAUUACCUUGUCAGAUUUUUUGGAAAAGGGAAGAGUUCAUGGCCAGACAAGAGAAAGAGAGGCUUCCAGAAGACAAAAUGGAAAAUUUUGAUUACAUAAAAGUAAAGUUUUUGCACAAACAAAACAAAUGCAGUUAAAAUGAGAAGAAAAACAAGGAACUGGGUGGAGGGGUGAAUCUGGACAGCAAGAUUUUCUGAUAAAAAUCUAAUUUUAAUAAGGAAUUGUGACAAGCUUAUGAAAGUAAGUUAUUCCCUCGUUGGUAAGGGAAUACAAAUAGGCAGUUUUCAGAGGAAGAAAUCAAGUUUUAAAUAGCCAUGUAAAAUGCUCUGUCACUUAAUAAUUAGAGAAACAUAAAUGAGAAUAACUCUGAGGUACCCCUUCACACCUAAUAUUGGCUGCUGACAAAAAAGGACAAGAAUAAAUGCUGGUGGAGAUGUGACAGAAUAAAUGCCCUGUUGAUAGAGCUAUGAACUACUCCAACUCUUCUAAACUAUUAAACUAUGCAUGUCCUUUGACCUAGCAGUGCUAGGUCUAUAACACAAAGAAAUCAAGGAAAAGGGGAAAUGGCCCAAAUAUACAAAAAUAUUCAUAGCAGCUCUUUGUGUCAGCAAUGAAUUGGAAACUGAGGGAAUGCUCAUCGACUGGAAGUCUGAAGAAGUUACGGAUUACGAAUGCAUAUAUGUGGAAUAUCUACACACAUAUGAAUGGAGUAGUGUCGGAAAUGAAAUACUGCUGCCAGAAAUGAUGAAGAUGACAGUUUCACAGAAAUCUGAGAAGACUUCAAGGAAUCGAUGCAAAGUGAAGGGACUGAACCAUGAGAGUGACAUACACAGUAACAGCAAUUUUGAAUAAUAAACUAUGAAAGACUUCAUAAUUCUAGUCAAUACAAUGAUCAAUCACAAUUCCAAAGGACUCAUGAGGAGACACCUACACAUAAAAUAUUGAUGGACUCAGAGUGUAGAAUGAAGCAUAUUUUUUCUCUUUAUUUCUUUUGUGUGUGCGUAUGUAUGUGUGUGUGUGUAUGCAUGUUUUCCACAACAUGACAAAGGCAGUAAUUUGUUUUCAAUGACUUCAUAUUUGUAAAAGAUUUUGUAUUUCCUACUUCCUCAUUGGGUGGGGGAGAGGGUGGAAGGGGAGGAAAAGAAUUUGGAACUGAAAAUAAAACUGAAUUUAAAAAAUAGAAUGUCUGACUUGGAGGUGCCUCUCAAGAGAAUAUAUUGGAGAAUGGCUAGAGCUUAGAAUGGAGGAUUUCAUGAUGGGAUGAUAGUCCAGGCUUAAAAUAUCAGAACUGGGAAUUGACAGAGAAACCAGAAUGAGACCAUGACAAGGUAUGCCCACUAUAGAAUGUCUCAGUUUGGAGGCAAUUUAGAAUUAAUGGGGCAUGACCUAGAUAGUACCUUCCAACUUAGAAUAUCCCACUUGGAAGUGACUUUAGCAUACAAGGAGUGGAGGACAGUCAGAAUCAGAGAACUUGGCCAGAGAUUUGUCCAGUUUGCUUCUUUGGAAUAUGAGCACACAGAAUGUGUAAUGCCUGGAAGAAGUCAUAGAAAGGAGCUAGCAGGGCACUUAGAAGAAGGGCUAUCAACAUGAGGAAAGCCCUUAGAACAUAUAAUUUCAGAACUAGCAAGGCUACAAAACCACAGAGUCAGAGCUAGAAGGGUUCUUAGAAAAAAAUGAUCCGAUCUCAAAUGGUCUCAAGAACAUAAAAUAUUGCUGGUAAAGAAUUUUGUCCUUAUGUCCAGGUUAUGGGAAAUACAAGUUAAAAAUUCAAAACAUUUAAAAUAGACAUAGAUAUACAUAUGAUAUGCACGAUAUUUCAAUAUCUUAUUUGGAAUCACAAUGGUGGUCCUCUGAAUUAAAGAUCCUACCUUCAAUCACAACAGCCAAAGUAGACAUUUGAAUAUGCAAUGUGAAAUGUGAAAACAGAAAACAAUGAAACAAAAAAUAAAUUACAAAAAAGUUAAUGUAUGUAAUAUUUUCAAGGGGUCAGGCUACUAUACGUGUUUUUGUUUUUGUUGUUGUUGUUAAUGAAUUUGGUGUAUUUGUUGAAAGAAUAAGGUAAGUAAUCAAGUUCCACAAGAGAAACAAUUCAUGAUCUUAGCCAAUAGGUAAUAAACAUUUAUUAGGCUCCUACCACAUGCCAUGUACUAUGCUAAGCACUAAGGUUGCAAAUACCAGAAGAGAAAAACAGUCCUUAUCCUCUAGGAGAUUUUAAUGAGGCAAGACAAAACACAAAAGGAAGCUGAAAAGGGGAGAGGAGGUGGGGAGGAGGGUUGGAAGAGGAUAUACCAGAGCCCGGGGCAUGGUGGAGAAGUCAAUCAGAAAAUCCCAAAGUAAUGCAGCCAGCUAAAAAAUGAGAUGUCUGACCUAUCCUUAAAUGGAAGUUUGGAGUUCAUAGCCCAACCCUCCAAUCAGAGAGGCAGAAGUGGAGGACCAAGGUUGAUGAGGUGGUUCCAAUAAUGACUUGCCAGGAGCAUUCUGGAGAUAUCAGUCAGUUCCCAAAGUAGUGCAGCCGGGUGAGAAAUGAUUGUAUUGCUAAUUUACAUGUCAUUUACCAUACAAAAACUGAUUAAAUAAAUAAAAGGGGAAAAGACCCUUGAAUAGGAGAGUAUUUUGAACAUAAAAUAAGCAGGAUGGGAUGAUCCUGUAUAAUGUCUGACUUGAAGUAGUCUUUCAAGAGAAGGCUAGUUAAAGCUUGGAGUGGAGAAUUUCAGUGCUGGUAUGUCAGUCAAAGCCCUGAAUAUCCAAACUGAGAGGUGACAUGGAAGCCAGACUAUGAGACUUGGGAGGCUAUGUCCAACAUAGAAUGUCUGGAAGCUUGGAGGCAGUUUAGAAUCAAUGGAACUUGAACCACAUGGGGCCCUCAAACCUGGAAUAUCAAACCUGGGAGAAGAGACUAUGGAACCCACAACAUGAGAGAUAAUCAGAGAAAAGAAAUUGUCUGAUUCCAUGGGAUCUGAACACAUAGAAUGCAAGACCUGGGAGAAACCACAGAGCUGGCAGGAAUCAUAGAAGAAGGAAUAUUGGAGGGAGGAAAGGCUUUAGAACACCCAAUUUCAGGACUAGCCUUGUCUGUGAAGUCACACAGUGUCAGAGUUGGGAAAGCUCUUAGAAGACACAUCAGAGCUCAGAUGGUUCUGAGAAAAUGCAGUAUCAUUAAUGGGAACGAGUUUUGGUUUUGUACACAGAAUUCCAACUAAUGAGGAAAUUCAGGCAAAUUAUCACAACAGAGAUAAAGUACAUUUAGUGUAUGAGAUUCCACCUAUAUUUCAGUAUAAUUGAUAUUAGCACAAUGGUGAUCCUCAAUUAAAAGUUAUAUAUUGUAUCCCAGUCAAAGAGGCAAAGUGAACAUACCAGUGUUAAAGGAAGGAAGGAAAAAAGAAGGGAAGGAGGAAAUCAAAAUAACCAACAACACAUUUAUUCUAUAAAGUGUCUUGAAGGGUUAAGGCUGUUAGAGAUAUAAAAAUUAUUGUUAACGAAUGAUUAGUAUUCAUGGAGAAAAAUAAAGUGAACAGAAUUCAAAAUAGAGAAUUUGUGCUCUCAAAUAACUAUUGCUAAUUGAUCAAUAAACAUUUAUUAAGUACCCACAAUGUGCCAGGCAUUGUGAUGAAUGUUGAUACAGAAGGAAAAGAAUCUCCUCAAAAAGCUUACACUCUAAUUGGGGAGACAGUAGCAAGCAAAUAUAGGCAAAGGAAGAUAACCGAGGGAAUGCGCAGUAGGACAUAACUCGGAUGACUGAACAACUGAACUUCAUACUAAUAAAGACAUCUAAAUAAUUGGAGAAAUAUUAAUUGCUCAAGAGUAGGCCAAGGCAACAGGAUAAAAAUGACAGUAUCACCCAAAUUAAUUUACGUAUUCAGUGCCAGAACAAUCAAACUACUAAAGAAUUACUUUAUAGAGCUAGAGAAAAUUAUAACAAAAUUCAUCUAGAGGAAUAAAAGGUCAAGAAUAUCAGGGGAAUCAGUGAGAAAAAUCAGAAAGAAGGUGGCCUACUAGUACCAGAUCUCAAAUUAUACUCCAAAACUAUAAUCAUAAAAAAAAUUGAGUGUUUAACCGGAGGACAAGAUUAAGUAUAUAAUCUAGAGAAGUGAAUGAACAAAGUGACCUAGUAUUUGAUAAAUCUCAAGAUCCCAGCUAUUAGGGAAAAAAUUCAACAGCUGACAAAAACUUCUGAGAAAGUUAUAAAGUUGUCAGACAGAAACUAGUUAUAAAUGCAACAUCUCACACCAUAUACCAGUAUAAACCCAAACUGGGUACAUAAUUUAGUCAUAAAGUGUGAUAGGAUAAGUAAAUUAGGGGAGCAUAGAAACAAUUACCUGUGGGAAUAAUUCAUGACCAAACAAGAGAAAGAGAGGGACAUGGAAAUUAAAAAGGAAUGAUUCUGACAACAUAAAAAUUUUACAUGAACAAAACUAAUGCAGUCAAAAUUAGAAGAAAAACGAGAAGUGGUAGAGUGUGUGGUUUGUGCAGCAAGUCUCUGAUAAAAAUCUCAUUUCUCAAAUACAUAGGGAACUUAGCCAAACUUAUAAGAGCUACUCCUCAGUUGAUAAAUGGACAAAAAAAUAAGCUCCCUAGUUUUCAGAGGAAGAAAUCAAGGCUAUAGUUAAAUGAAAAAAUUCUCUAAAUCACAAAUAAUUAAAGAAGUGCAAAUUAAAACGACUCUGAGGUACCACCUAAUGCCCAUCAGAUUGGCCAAAAUGACAGAGAAGGAAUAUGAUAAUGCUGAAGGGAUGUGGCAAAACAGGCACAUUAAUGCACUGUUGGUAGAAUUGUGAACUAAUCCAAUCCUUCUGGAGAACGAUUUGGAACCAUUCUCAUGAAUCUAUUAAACUAUAUGUACCCUUUAACUCUUCGAAACCCUACAAAGUUUAUACGCCCAAAGAGAUUUUAAAAAAUGAUAAAAAAUCAUGUAUAAAACUAUUUAUAGUAUCCCUUUUUGUGAUGUAAAAAAUUGGAAACCAAGGGGAUACCCAUUAAUUGGAAAAUGGCUGAAAAUGUUAUAUGAAUCUGAUAGAAUACUAUUGUGCUAUAAGAAGUGACAAAGAGGUGGUUUCAGAAAAAACUUGAGAAGACAUUAUAAACUGAUACAAGGUGUAGUGAACAGAAGCAGGAGAAAGAGAUACACAGUGACCACAAUAUUGUAAAGAUAAUCAGUUGAAAAGACUUAACACUGAUAAUGCAAUGGCCCACCAGUUUCAAAGGAUUCAUCAUGAAAAAUGCUAUCCACUGCCAGAAAGAGCACUGAUGACUGAUGGGGUCAGGGCUAAAUGUGGGAGGGCUUUAGAAGACAGAAAGUUAAAGGUAGUUAAACCAAAAGAAUGGAAAUUACCAGAUUCUGUGGGAUUUGCAAAAAAUGCAGCAUCAGGAACCAGGAAAGCUGUGAAAAGAGAAUUUCAGAGAAUGCAGGAGACUUAGAAGAAGGACUAUAUGAACUCUUACAAUGUGAAAUUUAAGAACUAGCUUUGGUCAUAAAAUCAGUUUCAGAGCUGAGGGCUCUUGGAACAAGGAUUAACAAAGUUUGGCUGGGCCUGAGAACACGGGUUAUUGGUGCAAGUCUCAGGGGCCCAAAUUAUUAAAAAAGGCAAUUAAAUUUAAAGAUAUAUUUAUAAUAUGAAAUGUAGUAUUUAUGUUAAUAACUAUAAGAACAAUGGCGAAUAUCUGAAUUCAUACUCCUGUCCUGGAUUACACAAGUCAGAAAUUUGAAGAUACACUGCUAAAUAUGAAAUAAAAGAAAAAGAAAAGAACAUAGCUGACCAAAAUGUAAAUGUAUGCAGUGUCUUCACAUAAUAUAAUAAAAAACUAUAAUGGUACAAGUGUAAUAGAAGUAUAGUAAUAUUACUAUUAUUUUUAAUAGAUGGUAAUACUUAUGGGAGAAUAUUAUCAGGACAGAAAUCAUGAGAAACCACUUGUGACCUUAAUUAUAUUAUAAAUAAACAUGGCAUUUAACAUUGUCAAAAUGGUCAAAGAAAAGGGGGGAAAGAAACCCUGUAAUAUAAGAGAAGGGAAAUGCUAUUGAUAAUACAAUAAGGAAGAUGGCAGAGUCUUUUGAAGAUGUGAUAUAUGACUUGGAGGUAAAUUCCAAGAGAAUUUAUAGGAAGCAAGUUAAGACAUAGAAUGGAGAAUUUCCCCUGAUCUGAUGGCAGCCCAGAAGCCAGAUAAGUAGACUUAAUGUCCAACAUAGAAUGGAGAUGAUUUCAAACCAAUGUGGCUAGAGCUGGACAGGACCUUAAAGCCUAGAACAUCAGAUGUGGGAGGGACUUUAGAACAUACAAAAAAGAGCUGGUCAUGGGCAGGGAAUUGAAAUUCUCUGAAUCCAUGGGAUUGAAGCAAACAACUGUAUUGCCAAGAGGAACCACAAAAAGGGGCAUGUAAAAUCCACAAGGGAUGUUAGAGCCAGGAAAGCCUUUAGAACAUAUCAUUUCAAAAACAAGAUGUGGCCAAAAAUUUGUACAGGGUUGGAACUGGGAAGCUCUUAGAACAUGGAUUGUCAAAGCUCAGAUGUCCCAGAGAAUACAUAGUAUCAUUGCUGGAAAGGAGUUUUAUUUCUCUGAAAAGAGUUAGGCACACUUUCACAACCAAACCAAAUUGCAGGAUAUUUUUUUUGUUGUUCAGUUGUUUCAGUCAUGUCUGACUCCCUGUGACCCCAUUGGGCUUUUUUUUGGGGGGGGAAGAGAUUUUACAGAGGUUGGCCAUUUUCUUCUCCAGCUCAUUUCCAGAUGAGGAUACUGAGGCAAACAGAGUGAAGUGACUAGUCCAGGGUCACAUAGCUAGUAAGUGUCUGAGGCUAGAUUUGAAUUCAGGAAGAUAAAUCUUCCCGGAUAACUUAUGUUCAUUUAAAUUAAAACUCAUGUCCUGUGCCAGCCAGUGAAAGGUAAACAUAAAAUGCUGGUGUGGUACUAAUUUUUAAAGGAAAGGAGAACAAACAAAGCAGUCAUUUCAGGCAAUGCCUUGAAGCAUUAAGGCUGCUAUAGAUCUCACUGUUUCAUUACAGAAUAAUAAGUAUUUCUUGAAAAAGAAAAGGAAGCACCCAGAAUUUAAAAGGGAAACAAUCUGUGCUCUCAACAGAUUGUAUUGGAAAUACUUAUAUGCAACUUAAUAUAAUGAAAUUGGAAAAAAUUAAGUAAAAAGGAAAAAUAACCAACCUUAAAUGAUCAGAGGAGGGAAGAGACAUAACUGAGAAGGAACAUCAAUAAUAGUGUCUGGCUCAGACAGCCCUUUUAGGAUAAUUAUAUUGGAGAUUGGCUAGAGAUCAGAAUUGAGACUUCCAGGAUCAGGGCGACAGUCCUGGCUCCAAAUGUGAAAAGUAGGCAUUGCUGUGAAAGCUAGAAUAUCAGACAUGGGACAGAAUGUAGAACAGUAUGAAUGGACUUGGAAGGGAUUCAGAAUCCAGAGUGCCUGAGCUGGAUGAGGGUAUGGAACCUGGAAUGUCAAAUGUGGAAGGGACGUUAGAACACAGAGAGAGGUGGUCAGUGCGAGGGAGCAGAAAUUGUCUAACUCUGUGGGAUGUGAGCAUACGGCAUGUAGAGGAGAGAAUGUUGGAGCAGGCAGGGCAUGUCAAAGCCAGGAAAGUCCUUGGGAUAUGCAAUGUCAGGACAAGCUUUGGCCAUAAAACCAUAUAAUGUCAAAGCUGGAAGGGCUCUUAGAACAUGGAUCAUCAGAGCUCAGAUGGUCCAGAGAAAACAUGGUGUUAGUGCUGGGAACUUGUUUUAUGAGGAAGGGCAGGGAACGUGAAUACAGUCAAACAAAGUAAAUGUAGCGGGGAUGAUCCCAUAUACAUGUCAGUGUAACAAAUAUUAGCACAAUGGGAAUCUUCAAAAUCAAAACGCAUGUCAAAGAUGAAAAGCAAACAUAUAGUGACAAAUCAAGAGUGAAGGAAAAAGUGCAACAACAACAACAACAAAAACAACACAGUUAUUACUUGUAGUACUUUGAACAGUUGAACCUGAUGUGGAGAUCACUAUUAAUAUUAGAAAAUGGUCAAUACAUAUUGAAAAAAUACAGUACAUAUUCUUAGCUAUGUGACCCUGCAAUUCUGUUUUAGAAUUGAUAUUAAGACAGAAGGCAAGGGUUUAAAAAGAAAGAAAGAAAAAAUACAGUAAAUAUAAAGAAGUCAGAAGGGAAAAUUGUAUAAUCCCAAAUAAUUGCUAAUUUGUAUAAGUAAUUUCAUAUACUAAAACUGAAGAAAUAAUUGAAAGGGAGAAAACAAAGCCAGAAUAUAAAAGCCAAGAAGGUCUCUUAAGCUUAAAAUGACAGGCAGAGGGUCUGCAGAAAAUUAAAUGUAUGACUUGGAGAUGCUGUUCCAGAGAAUGGUUUUGGACUCCAUUCAAGACUCUGAAGAGCAGAACUAAUUAAUGACAUUAGACCUGAUAACGAGACUUAGGAAAUAUGUCCAACAUAGCAUGUCUGAGCCUAGAGGCAAUUUAGCAUCCGUAGGGUCUGAGGUGGGUGAGGCCCUCCAGUCUAUAAUAUCAAAUGUAGGAGGGACUUCAGAACACAGAAAAGGAAUGCUGGUCAGAGGCAAAGAGCUGAGACUGUUGUAUUCCAUAGGAUCUUAACAAACAGAAUGGCUGACCCAAGAGAAGCCCCAGGGUAGGGAAUGAAAAAGCUGCAGAGAAAGUUAGAAUAAUUGACAUCAGAGCCAGGAAAGCCCUUAGAGCACAUCCCUUUGAAAUUAGCUGUUGCCAUAAAACCACUCCGGGUCAGAGUCUUUUAGAACUUUAAGAACACAGCUUGGAAAACCCAGAAAAAAACAGUAUUAUUGCUGGGAAUAAGUCUUAUUUCUGGGUUCAGAUCUCCACCUUGUGUGGAAGGGCAGGCAAACUGAUCUGACAAAAUAAAUUCUGUUUAGGGUCAAUGAUCUCACAUAUAUGAUAAUACAAGAGAUUUCAGCUCAAUGGGGAUACUCUAGAUCAAAAGUCAUGUGCUGUAUUAGCUAGUAAGAGAUGAAAGGAAACCUACGAUGCCAAAUCUAUUUUAAUCAAAACAAAAAAGGAAAAGAGAAAAUACAGUUAUAGCUUACUGUACCUUGAAUAAUUAUAGCUGCUUUAUUAUUGUUUCAUUUUAUUUUUAAUAUUCUUUUUAAAAAAGAUCUUGAGUUCUGAAUUCUCUUCCUCCCUCUCACUCCUCCUCCACCCUUUGGGAAUACAAGCAUUAUGAUAUCAAUCAUAUGUGUGAAGUGAUGCAAAACAUUUCCAUAAAAGCCAUAUCACAAAAAAUAAGCAAGAAAAAUAAUAUAAGUGAGAAAAUUAUGCUUCAUCUUGUUCUCAGAAUUCAUCAGUUCUCCCUCUGGAGGAGGAUAGAAUUUUUUCCUCAUGAGUGCUUUGGAAAUGUAAGUCCUUUGAUCACUGUCAUGAUCAAAGUAGCCAAGGCCAUCAUUAGGACAUUGCUGUUAGUGUGCCCAAUGAUCUCCCAGUUCUGUUCAUUUUUGUGUUGUUCCAGAGACCAGAAAUUGUUGGGCGGUGAACACACACCGCAUGUAGGGCCUGGGGGAAGCUAUAGGGAGAAUGUCAGAGCCAGGAAAGCCCUUAGAACAUACAAUGUCAGGAUAAGCUUUGCCCACCAAACCCCAUUGUCAGAGCCAAGAAGACUCUUAGAACAAAGAUGAGGAGAGGUCAGAUGGGCCAGAGAACAUGCAACAUCAUUGCUGAGGAGUCUUGUUUAUGUGCUCAGGGCUCCAAGUUACAGAGAAAAUAAGUUAAAUGUAGACAAUAUUUUCAAAAGUAUUUUAUGUUAUUAAAUACAAGGUAUAUGGAAAUAUAAUACCAGUAAGCACAAUGAAGAUCCUCUGAAUUAAAAAUCACGUCUUGAAUCAUACAACCAAAUUGGAAGUAUGAACAUAUCAUUCCUAAAUUUAAACCAAAAAAUUGAGGUGGGGGGAGGGAUGACAAAAAAAGCAAUUGCCUGCAGUGCUUUCUAGGCCAAAGGCUGUUGUAUAUAUUACUUGCUGGUAGUGGAUGGGCCAUAUAUGUCAAGAAAAAAAGGUAACACAGUAUUCACAAGCAAAACAUUGUGAUUUAAAAUAAUUGUAUUGUAAUAACCAUAUGCCAUCUAAUACAUUAAAACUGCUUAAAUGAGAGACAAGAAAAAAAUGUAACCUAUCAGGUGACAGAAAGGUUUUUGGAGACAAAAUUCCCAACCUGGGAAGAUCUUUGGAAAUUAGGAUGUCUGUGUCAGAGGUACCUUUCAAGGGCAAAUAUUGGACAGAGCUUAGAAUAGAAAUUUUCUGUGCUGGGAUGUCAGUCCAGGCUUGAAAGAGAAGAAUAGGGAGUUGACAUAGUAUCCAGGAUAUGAGACCUGAGACGGUACAUUCAACAUAGAAUUUCUGAGCUUGGACGCUAUUUAGAAUCAAUCAGUGUGGGUCUGCACUAGAUGGGGCCCUCCAACUUGGAAUAUCAAAUUUGGGAGGAGGGACUUUGGGACACAUAAAAUGAAGAGAUGGUCAGAGAACAGAAAUUAUCUGAUUCUAUGGGAGAUGAGCACAUAGAAUGUAAGAUCUGGGAGAAACCACAGAAAAGGGAAGGUCAGUGCAGGAAAGUCAUAAAUAAGAAGGAAAGUGAUCCAUGUUAGCCCCUCAGAACUUGAUCACCAUUAGAGCCAUUAAAGGGAAUCUACUUAAGCAAGGAACAUGGCUGUGACUGUCAGGUUGGGAUAAUCUCAAGAAAAGAAAAGAAGGGUGAGAAAGAGGGAUGCACUGGGAGAAUUAUAUUACUAAUAAAUAUAUGGCAUUUAAUAUACUAAAACUGAUUAGGUGAAAAGGAAAACAACCCUUAGAAUACCAGAGAAGACAGAUGCUAUUGAAUAUAAAAUAACUAGGAUUGGUUGGGUCUUUUAGAAAUAAGAAUGCCUAACUUGGAGGAGUCUUCCAUGAGAGCAAAUAAGAAGGUCAGAACCUAGAAUGGAGAAUUUCCAUGCUGGAAUGGCAAUCCAGGCUCUCAAAUUCAGAAGUGGGAGUUAAUAUAAUACCUAGAAUAUGAGACUUGCUUGAGAAGAUAUGUCCGACAUAGAAUGUCUGAGCUUGAGGGCAACUAAGAAAUAAUGAGUUCUGAGCUGGAUGGGGCCCUGGAAUCUGGCAUAUCCAAUGUGGGAGGGACUUUAGAACACAGAAAGUUAGAAAUAGUAAGCACCAGAGAAUAGAAAGUAUGUGAUGCUAUGUGAUGCAUGUCCACACAGAAUAUCAGGCCUGAGAAAGGUUACAGAGAAUAUAAGGUCAGAGCAGGCAAGAGACUUAGAAAAAGGAAUAUCAGAGGCAGGAAAGCCCUUAGAACAUAUAAUUUCAAUACUAGUUGUGGUCAUACACAGUGUCACAGUUGAGAGGGCAUGAAUUAUCAGUGCUCAAAUUGUCCUAAGAAAAAACAAAACCAAUUCUGGGAACAAAUUUAUUUCCAGACUCAACUUAUGAGGAAGGACAGGCAAAUAUCAACAAAAAAUUGUAAAGGUUUAUUUAGGGUAAGAGCCACCUAAUAUUACGUAAAAAUUUAUAUCAGCAAAAUGGUAACACGCCCAAGUACAAAUCAGGUCUAGCAUCACUCAAAGAUGAAAGAUGAACAUACAGUAUUUAAUCUCCUUCUAAUAAAAAAGAAAGAAGGAAAAGGAAAGGAAAGGAAAAAAUAACAGACAGUGAUUGCAUUUAGUGUCUUAAAGAGUAAAAAUUGUAAUAGAUAGUAUAAUUGCUGGUUGGAUCAAUAUUUAUUGAAAAAAUAAAGGACAAGGAAUUCAAAAGUAAAACAAUUUGUGUUCUCACAUGAUUGUAUUGCUUAUACAUACAGAUAGUUUAAUAUCAUAAAACUGAAGAAAUAAGUGAAAAGGGAGGAAAGCAAAAUUAGAAUAUCAGCAGAAGAAGGGAAUUUUCACCAGAAAAAUGACAUGGCUGAAAAGGUACAUAAACAAUACUGUCUGACUUGGAGGACCUUUUCAAGACAAUUUAUUGGAGAUUGGAUAGAGUUUGCUCUGGGAAUAGCGGUGCCAGCUAUAUGUGUGAAAAGCAGAAGAUGACAAAAAGCCAGAACAUUAGACCUAAGAGAGAAUGUAGAAUACAGAAUGAAUGGGUUUGGAGGCAACUUAGAGCCAAGAGUGGCUGAGCUAGAAGAGCCCUUUGAACCUGGACUAUCCAAUAGAGGAGGGACUGUAGAACAGAGAAAGUUAGAAAUGAUUAGAGCUAAAGAACAGCAAGUAUCUGAAAUUCCAUGUGAUGUAGGCACACAGGAGGGAGGGUCUGGGAGCAACCACAGAGAAGGGAAUGUUGGAGUAGGCAGAGCAUUUAGAAGAAAGGAUAUCAGAGCCAAGCCCGUUAGAACAUGCAAUUUCGAAAAUCAGUGUCAGAGCUGGGAGGGCUCUUAAAAUAAAGGUUACCAAGGCUUCAAUGGUCUUGAAAACAGAUAAUAUUCGUAUUGGGAAGGAAUCUUGUCAAUGUACUCAGGUGUCCAAGUCAUGGGGAAAAGUAAAUUCAAUUUAAAAAAAAAACACUGAAAAAAGAUUAUUUAUGAUUUAUAAGGCAACAUAUAUUUGAGUAUAAUUACAAUAAGCAUAUGGUGAUCCUCUGAAGAAAUAGCCCAACCCAAUUCAUGCCCUGAGUCCUAUAGGCAAAAAGAAAUUUCAAACAUUCAGUGCCUAAUCAGAAUUUAAGCAAAAAAAAAAAAUGGAAAAAAUUGGGAAAGUAAUUGCAUGUGUUGUUUUCAUGGAGAAAAGCUGCUGUACAUAUUAUUGUUAAUUAAUGGGCUAUAUUUAUUGGUGGUGAAAAGAACACAGGAUUCACAGAGGAAACAAUUUGUGAAUUCAAAUAAUUAUACUGCUAAUACACACAAGCCAGUUAAUAUACUAACUAUACGAAUGUACUAAAACUGACUAAAUAAA
Molecule: long non-coding RNA, 54802 nt
Organism: Monodelphis domestica (gray short-tailed opossum)
Lineage: Eukaryota; Metazoa; Chordata; Mammalia; Didelphimorphia; Didelphidae
Source: RefSeq, a predicted model, not a curated record